Molecule: long non-coding RNA, 81243 nt
Filed under: Ananas comosus (pineapple)
Lineage: Eukaryota; Viridiplantae; Streptophyta; Magnoliopsida; Poales; Bromeliaceae
Description: long non-coding RNA (ACOM_LNC011504)
Source: RNAcentral
UCGACAAUGUGAAAUUUAGCAUAGAGCUCUUUAAGUCCCAAAUUGAUUCAAUUGUGUUCUCGGCCCAACAUAGCUAGGGUUCUAGCAAGGCAUUUUACACUAAUUCAGUCAUAUUUUAAAGUACAAAAAGACGAGAUGUUUACGCGGUCUUAAAAAUAUUUCAGAGGCAAGAUAAACAAAUAUAUAUGGUUGACAAAAGGGUGGUCGAGAGGAGAUGAUCCCAAAUUCUAGAAUGAAAUGUACAGCAUAAAUAAUUAAAAUACUGUUCUCUAGUAAGUAUAUGUUUUAGAGAAAUAAAUCAUUAUGCACUCUGGGUACGUAAACGGAAUAUAUGAGUUUAAAUCUCCUAAAUAUGCAAAGAAAUAAUGAUUUUAUACACAUAAUUGUAUCAAAAAGUUGUUUGUGGAAACACAUUAUAAGAUGCUUUUGCAACUGUAGGUUUUAUGUUAUGACAAGCAUACUUUUUCCAUAACAAAGUAGGCAGGCCUUGGAGAUUUGGAUUAAGGAUGUGGUGCUUAAUGAAUGAGACAGAAAAGAACAGUAGAUCGGUGCGAACUAAGUGAUUUUUCACGUUCAUGUAAAAACAUUUUUAAAGUUGUUCUCAUGUUUUGUAUCUUUUGAUUUUAAUUGGCUUCAGUUUUGAAACCAAUCAUACCUAAUAUAGUUAGUUGGUAAGGACUCUAUGGUUGGUAUCUAAGAGGCGUGUUUGGUUCGCUUCUUUUUUACCAUGGAAUCGGAAUCGGAAUGGAUGAAUAUGUUUAUGGGUGUUUGGUACGCGGGAGUCCCAUUCCGAUUUCGAUUUUCGAGUGGAAUGGGAAUCCCCCAAUCAUCCAUUUUUUCAAUCCGGCCUCCUAGACCGGAUUGGAAGUUGAAUUCGGACGGAAUGAAUAUUUAUUCGGAUUAAAUUUAUUUUUUCAACUUUUUUAAUUAAAAUAUGAGUUAAAAUUUAAAAAUUAAAUAUAUAAUUUUAAAUUUUAAUUUGAACUUAAAUUAAAAAUUAAAAUUUAAUUAAGUAUUUCGAAUCUAACUUAUGAAUUUGAAUUUAAAUUAAAUUUUAAUUUAUAUAAAGUUUAUUCAAAUUUUAUUUCAAACUUAAAUUAAAUUUAUGAAUUCAAAUUAAAAUUUAAACUGUAAUUUUAAGUUUGACUUUGAAUAAAUAAAAAUUUAGUUUCAUAUUUUGAAUUAUCCACUCAACUUCAAAGAUUAAUUUAUUUUAAAAAAAUUGAUUUAAAAUUUUGACAUUAUUUAAAAAUUUUGAUGUAAAUUUUUAAUAUUUAAUUUUUAAUUUGAAUUUAAAUUAAUAUAUUAUAAAGAUAACGUUAUUAUAUUAAUUUGAUUACGUUUUUUAUAUCCACUUGAACCAAAUACCAACAAUGGGAAUUAUUUAUUUCGAUUCCAAUUUAGGUGAUGAACCAAACGGAAUUAGAUAAUAAGUCAUUCCGAUUCUGAUUCCAGCUUAUUUUGAUUCCGAUUCCGAUUCCGAUUCCGAUUUCGACUCCGACUCCGAUUUUAACUUCGAACCAAACACGCCCUAAGUUUCUAACUUUGGAAGCUUAAUUGUUUCAUGCUUUUAUGGAUACCUCGCUAACUUUCUUUUAAUAGUGAUAUUUUUUUUUUAUUCCUAAGAAAGUCCACUAUUCGAAACUAUUUUUCCAUAUAUCUGAUUUUUAUUUAAAAAAAUUUCUUUUCCAUUUUUUUGGGGCGACAUUACAACAUUAUCGGCAGGAGCAGAUACUAACGUUCGCCCUCAACAACAAAAACAAUAGAAAAGCGACAAAUAGGGAAAAAAAAAAGAAGAUGCAAAAAAUAGAAAAUUACAAAAAAAAAAGGAAAAAAAAAGAGGAAACAAAUUAAAGACCAUUUAUUCCGUCAACACCGCAAACCGUCCCGGAGCGGUUCAGGCCGAGUCGUGUCCGAACUGGUCCAUGAACCGGCCGAUGAGCCGGAUCAACUCGUCGACCGGUUCGGCGUAGGGGUCGACCUCGAAGAAGCCGUGCUGUUGCCCCGCGAACUCGACGAGCUCAACGUGCUUCCCCAGCUCCCUCAUCUUCAUCACGUAGUCCACCUCCCGAUCCCUCAAAACGUCUCGCUCGGCGACCACCAUGAGGAUCGGGCCGGUCUCGACCGGGCCCAGGUUCGGGCUCUCCGGUCCGAACGGGUUGAACACCGGGUAGUCCUUCGUCGCGCCGGGCGGCAGCAUGAGGCGGCAGUACCGCUCGGAUUGCUCCCGGUUCAGGAACGCGUCGGGCGGGCACUCCGACUCGGACCGGGUCGGCUGGGCCCCGCCGAAGGCCGGCAUUAGGAGGAUGAACCCGCGGACGCGGACCGGGCCCAGGCCGGCCGGCCCGAACCGGACGGCCAUGUGGUGGGUGAUGUUCCCGCCGGCCGAGUCGCCGGAGACGAAGACGCGGCCGAAGUCGACGGAUUCGGCGAUCCAGGGGUCGGCUCCGGCGCCGGCUUCGGCUUGGGAUCUGAGCCAGGAGAGGGCGGUGGCGCCGUCGUCGACGGCGGCGGGGAGGCGGUGCUCGGGGGCGAGGCGGUAGUCGGCGGAGAUGACGAACACGUUGAGCUCGGCGGCGAGGCGGAGGCACCAGGCGUGGAAGUUGGGCCAGGUGCGGGAGCCGAUGCAGAAGCCGCCGCCGUGGAAGUAGAAGAGGAGGGGGAGCUUCUCGCUACUGCAAUGAUCGGACGAUCGAUCGCGGCGGGGGCGGUAGAGGCGGAGGUGGAGGUCGUGCUGGGGAUCGUAGAGGGAAUCCUUCCAUUCGACGGAGCCGUCGUCGUGGACGGUGACGGGGAAGAUGGGGUCGGGGGAGCGCAGGAUGGUGCCGUCGCUCAGGACGCGGAUUGCGCCGCGGCAGUCCUCCACGACGUGAGGAGGAGGAGGAGGAGGAGACGAGAGGGGAUUAGCGGUGGCGAGGGGGGAGGCCAUUUUUUGUUGGAUCUGAAUUUGUGGCUGAAGAAGAAUUUGUUUUGUAGCUAAACCAGCUGUAGAGACAAUUGCUGUUGCUUCGGUGUGUGUGUUGAGGAGGGUGGAAGGGGAAGAGAUUUAUUUAUAUAGAAGAUGCCUCCUUCUGAAAACCAAACCGCACGUGUUUAUUAAUCGGACGGAAAGCAUUUGCUAAUUAAAGAAAUGGGAGUUCCUCAUUCGUACGUGUGAAACCUGGGGUCGCACGACGGUGACCUUCUAGUUACAUGCAUCUAGCCACGUCCAGCGUUGCAGCUAGCGAAAAAAUAAUAUUUCUCGUGGGAAAAAUUCUCCUUUAUUAUGUAGCGGGGUCAAAAAAAAUCUAGAAGAGUCAAAGAUGGAGUAGUCACAAGGAGAGAGCGUCGGUGGCCUGCUUCUAGAGAGAAAGCGAAGUUUCUGAUGAGGGUACUCGGUGCUCCACGGUUUCGAGUUUGGAAGGAAAAGAAGCUGUAUCGAGAAGACCAGAAACGUCAAAUUUGAUGACGCAGCAGAUUAGGUGAAUGACAUCACGCAUGGCGUAGAACGGAUGACAUUAGAUAUUGCCGGGAAAAAUAAAAUACAAAUGGCAACGAGAAAAUCGAGCAAGGCAGUUUGAAGCAUACGGAACUUAAAAAAUUCAAAAUUCUGUAAUCAAUUACUAUUGAGGGAGCCACUUAUCGCUACACAAAAGUUUGAAUUCAUUCCCGGCUGAAAUUUUAGGUUCUGGUAGUUAUUCACAUUUCCGAAGAAACCAAGCAUUAAGCUCAUCGAAUGAUUAAAUUUAGACAAAAAUCUAUGAAGAACAGCCGAUCACCUCUCGAAACCUUCCAACACCUCUCAUAGCUCAUAGUUUUUUUCAAUCGAGUCAAUAAAAUUAAAAGUACACGAUUCUAUUAGAUUUAAUAACUUAAAUCACUUCUUAAGGAAAUAAAAAUGAAAUUAAUUAAUGCUUAAUAGUCAAGAAAAUCUUAAUUUUUGUAAGGCCAAUUUGCAUAAAAAAUCCACUUAUUUUGGGCUUUUGCAAAAUCGGGCCAUCUUUUUUAUUUUUGCAGAUUCGGUCCGCUUUUUCAGCAAACUGACCAAAAUACCCUUAUUACUUUUUCUCUUUCCUCUUUCUCUCUCAUCUUCGUUCUCUCGUUCUUUUAAUUUUUUUUUCGCCGGAAAAAAAAAANGGAGAGGGGCUCGUUGCCGGCGACGUCGCCGGAGCGGACGAAGGCGACGUCGCCGGGGCAGGGGUGGCGUUUCCGCCUCUGCCGCUCUCUGGGAAGAGAAAGGAAAAAAGAACGACAAAAAAAAAAAGAAGAAAGAGAAAAAGGUACAAGGGCAUUUUGGUCAGUUUGCUGAAAAAGCGGACCGAAUCUGCAAAAACGAAAAAGGUGGCCCGAUUUUACAAAAGCCUAAAAUAAGUAGAUUUUUUAUGCAAAUUGGCCUUUUUGUAAACUAGAAAUAAUUUAGAUAAAAAAAAUUACACGGUGAGAGGUGUUAACUAAAAAAAAAAAAAAAAAAAAAAAAAAAUUAAAGAGUACCCGCGUCCAAUCGACGUAUAGUUGAGGGGGUCUCCUCAAAUUAUCACAUUAAAUUUAUUAAGGACUUCUUGUGGCCUCGGACGGCCCACAAAACUUCCAUUUCAGAUUUUAAAUCAGGAUCCAAAUCGCAGAACAACGCAAGUCUCAACCCAAGAGUAUGUCUAUCAAAAAUUUCAAGUUCAGAUCAGAUUCAUAGCCGCUGAAAAAUAUAUAAUAUUUUGCACAACAACAAUAUCUUUGUAAACACCGAUCGCACCUGACAAACUUAGCUAAGAGCUUGAUUGUUUUUUGAGAGAUAAGUAGCAUGCUACUGCUUCAUUUAUUUCAUUUAGAAAUAAAUUUAGCUAGAAAUGUGAAUCAACUAGGAUUCGAACUUGGAUCUCGGGUACCAAACACCAAAUCCUUUGCCACUUCGUUAGAAAUAAACUUAGCUAAGAGCUUGAUUGUUGGUAUCCGAAGUCUCCUAAGAAAGAUGAAUAAGGAGGAACCGAGGGAACUCAACAUUUUGCAAAACCACAGAAAUAUCAGUUAUUGAUAUGGACAGCAAAUUUUCAUAUCUUUGUUCAGGCAAAACAUAUUACUAGAGCCUGUUAUUGAUAAAAAAUAUGACUGUUUCUUUCAUUAGCUUUGCUUCUUUCACUACUGACGCCUCAUGCAACAAGAAUAUGAUGGAAAACCAUUAGUGCAUACGACUACGAUCUCAAUGAGAAUGAGAAUGAUAGAGCUAUACCUGCAAUGCCCCUGAACUGAAGCAGCACCACAGUACAAUUAAGUUAGAUGGAAAUGGUACAUAACCUUUGUCUCUUUUGUCGGAUUUGGCAAUAUGUCGUGUGAAGGGGCGUUUUCCAUUUAAAGACAAACAUGAGGAGGUAUCAACUUCCCCGGAUUCAUGAUACUAUUGGGAUCCAAUGCGGUCUUUAUUCUCUUCAUUGUUCUCAAUGCGCCAAUCCCAAGCUCCUCUUCAAGGUACUGCAAGAAAAGAAUCUUUAGACACUUCUACAGUCCUUGUCUUUAGAUACAACUACAGUUUAUUGAAAGUUUUAAACAAAAUAUAUGGCAACUACAAUAGGUAAUUUACGUGAGUGCAUGUUUCAAUGGACCGACAUUUUUAAAGCAUUAGUCACUUCAAAACCAGACUAUAUCACAAAUAUAACACAUUCAAAACAUCUAAAAAUUGUGCGCUAAUGGUGCUAAUGAUAGAGUUGAUAAAUCAUAUGGAAACUGAAAUUGUGUGCUAAUGGUGCUAAUGAUAGAAUUGAUAAAUCAUAUGGAAACUGAAGUUAUCGGUUUCCCAAGCAGCUAUCCGAUGGCUCUUCUAUUUUACAAGAAAAGCCUCAUCCCGGUUGGCUACUUUUCUUUCAUCAUUCUCUUAUUCACCUUUGUGGAUCAACAUUUAUGUGUAUAUAUGCUUUAAUCUUAUUUCACCUAUUCUGUUCUGCCAUGACUCUUAGGUAAGGUAGGAAAAUUGUACCUUCAUUUUCCCAGUACCCACUCCAUGUUCUCCUGUACAAGUUCCUGUUUAGUAGCCACAUAUAGCUCAUAUUAAAGCACAUUAAAAACACAGAAUGUAAUCAAGUAGUCUAUCAUCCUCCUAGGAUAAUUAUAUGCUAACAAAGUUAAAACUUCAGCGGAAAACUAAUUACUAAGCAUGAUUGCUAACAGAGUUGAUGCUAAUAUACUGAAGCUAGGCUUUUCUAGCAUCUCAGAUAGUAUGAUUACCUUCCAUUGACAAGGCUGUGUGGACCAUGAAAUGGUUGAGUCUCUCAGCUUCUUGCUGUUGUUCUUCCUUGCUUGGAUCAAAUAGAAUAAUUGUGUGGAAGUUUCCAUCACCAGCAUGAGCAAUGACCAUGCUGUGAGCAUAAAAAGGUUAAUAAUCAAUAUUAGAUUCCGGAGAAAUUAUUUUACAAGCUAUAAAGCACAAGUUUUCAAAGUGUUAUCAUCUAUAUAAAAUUUCAACACUAGCUGCCACUAUCAAGCCUUUUAGUCCCAACUAUUUAGAGUCGUUUGUAUGCUUAUAAGGAUACCAUUCUCCAUCCAAAUCUAUUUUUCCAAAAAAAUCUUUGUCAAACCAAGUGCCAUCAUAUCUUUUCUCACUAUCACACCAUAUUAUCAAAUUUGAUCUUCCGCUCCCAGAGGUAUUUAUGCUAGAACAAAUUAACCCACCUUUACUUCUAUUUUGAUGCAAUUUCUGUUGUACAAGCUAAACCAUCUCCCAUGCUUGUUCUCUAUGUGCCAUGCAUGUCUUGAAUCAAUAUGGUUGUUAUUAAUUAUACAAUUUUAUUUACUUCACCUACAAAAAAAGCAUGCUCGAGAUGUUCUAACUUGAACAACUCUUUUGCUGAACAAUCAGAUAAAAGAGCUUACCAUGUUAACGGUGAAGCAUCAAGCUGUUGCUUUGAUUUUGAAAUACAUUCUGCAAGCCUUGAUAAAGGAACACAGACAUCCUGGAAAGAGAAAAACCAGUAAGAUGCUAGGAAAAAGAUAAAGCGCGUCAAAUAAAUCAUUUAGAAUAUGUGCAUGCAUGCCCUUAUGAUUUACAACAAGGCAAAGGAUCACAGACUUGUUCGUACUAGGUAGUUCAGGCAGUAGUAACAGAUUAGUGGAAGCAUGCAUUAAUGGGGAAAAAAAAAACUGUCUGGUUAUUUAUGAAAAGCAGAAGCACAUUUCAAUUGCCUUUUAACUAGACUAAACAGGAAGUUGGAAUUAGCCUGCUUGAUACCAAUUUAAUCCUUAUAUUUUAGCUAAUUGUCAUCUAUUCUAGUGCAACUAAAAUUUCAAAUAAAAGGAAAUUGUUUAAAAUUAUCAAGAGACAAACCGUUAUCAUUGCCUCAUACCCAGGUGCCAUAGCAAAGCCUGCCCAAAGCGCCUCCUUCCGUAUCUGCAUAAAAAGAACGUCCAGACAUAAUUACAAAAAAGAAUGUCCAGACAUAAUUACUGAAAAUAAAUAACUGGAAGAAUAAAAUGGAGUGGCCUCUAACAUAUAUUGACUAAGCUCAGAAACUAUGUCAUAGAGUAUUGACAGAACAUAUUAACCUUUAUUAGGAAUCCACCAGCAUGAAAGUUUCAGAGCAUAUGAUGUAAGAGCUCAAGUUCACUCAAUUAAGAUAGGUCACAAUCACCUAUUACACAGACCGAGUGUCAAGAUGAUUAAGUUAUGCGAUGGAUGUUUAUUCUGUGAUUGUUAAUUACUCCUCUUCAUGGAUCUGAAAAGAUUUUACACUAGUAAUGAUUCAUUAAUUUCAAGACAAAUGAUUAAUGAUACUUAUACUAUCAAGUAAGUGAGACAAUAUUUUUAAAUUUUAACCAGUCACAGAAUGGAAUUCAGUGAAUGGAACCUGUUUUUUUUAUCAAUGAGGAUAUAAGAAAAAUCAACUCAUGGAUACUUAUACUAUCAAGUAAGUGAGACAAUAUUUUUAAAUUUUAACCAGUCAAAUUAGGGAAUUCAGUGAAUGGAACCUGUUUUUUUUAUCAAUGAGGAUAUAAGAAAAAUCAACUCAUGGAUAUGUAUACUAGAUGAACCAAAUAAGAGCAAUGCACACGUAUGCAAUAUCACAGUUGAUAAAUGUUUGUCAGUAAAUAAGGGUGAUGAACUGGGCUGGCCCAAAGUGACAGUGUUAUGUUACCACACUAUAAAUUCUCAAGCCAAAAAACUAUGGUCAGAAAAACAAUAAGAUAAAUAUAUCAACAUAAGUAUUCAUAUAAAAAGAAAAUAAAAAAGACUUCAAAAGAAUGGCAUGUCUGACCUUCCAUAGCUCCUUUUUAGCAUCAGGAUCUUCCACAAAAACAAAAUCAGAGCCAUUAUGUUCUGAAACGAUAUUCUGAACCAGCAAUGUUUGUUCUCGUGCAUAUGCUUCUGAUAAUUUGAAAACAGAAACAAUUUAAUAAGACUGACUUAUAAAGGAUUUACAAAAUAAAAAGCACAAACUGAGAACAAUUUUUUGAAAAACAGCCAAAACCCUUUGUAGCAUACCUGUGCCUAUAAAUUCGAACAUCAAUGUGGGAACUUCAGGUAUAUUUUUCCCAUUUGCCAAAUUAAUUGCCUUUAUUUGAACCUCAUCCAACAGCUCCACUCUGGAUACCUACUCAGGGAUGAAGGAAGAAACAUCAACAGAUAACAUCAACGAAAUAUUUUGACAUUUCAUUACAAUCAAGAAAGACAUGCAAUUGACAUUUUGAUAGUCCAUAUGAAAUAAAGACAUUUAAAAACAUAUGAAAAAUAAGGAUUUGCUUUAAUAAUUGCGUAUUUACCAUCUGAAAAAUCUAUAUCAAUUAAUCACUUUCAUUUUUCUAGCACUAGAACAUAUUAAUACACAACAAAUAGGGCACCAUUACAAGUCUCGAAACAGCAACAUACUCAGGAAGAGCAACCAUGAAGAGAAGGGUGCAGUUUAGCACUGUCUGCACAACUAAUUUCUGACGCAAUUGAAUAAGCUUUUGUAAUAUUACUUUUUUAUACUUUUCCGAACUUUCCAAUAACAGUUACCAAUAUUUUUCUUAUUUUCGUUAUAAAAAAGGCUUCACACAUUAUCUUUCUGCUCACCAUUAAUAUUACUGAUAUAUACUUAUCAACACAGAAUAAACCCCAAUAAACAGAAAUAUUUUGGAGGAAAGCCCACAAUUAUUACACAACAGAAGAAAGCAUACCAGUUUAGACUCUCAAUUUUACAACUCCUUAGCCGAUCUUAUUACAAGACUCUCAAAUUGGCCACUCCAUAGCUAAUCUUAUAACAAUUUCAGGCCAACUUUCUUUUCCAAUUGGUAACUUGUCUCAAAGAAAAAAAAAAAAAAAAUCAGGUUGGAGCCUAGGUCAAAUUCGCAGUUCAACUAUAUAAUCUCAGUAUAGGAACUUGGUUCAGUACGAGUUUAGGUGUUUGAUCCUUUAAUCACAUGCAAAUUUCUACUAGCAAUUAUGCACUGACUGUUAUCAAUUAUUAAUGUUUUGGCCAUAAACCAACAGUCAAGGGUAAUACAGUCGUCAACAAGGGAAAAGUUACACCAAUCACAAUCCAGCUUGGAUGGCUCUUAACCACUAAUUAAUAAUCUUUAUGUUUGUUGCAAGAACAUAAUGCAGAAUAAAAAAUAAAACAAACAAACAAAUAAACAAACAAAGAGAUAUUCACCACCUGAAACACCAAGACUAUAAUAAGAAUGACCACAUUCAUAUUGUCAUAAGAAAAGCCAAAUGUGAAAACCGAUACACUAGCUCCUGAUAGACAAUAGAAAACUUUGAAAGAAAGAAAUAGCAAAGAAUAGAUAGAGAGAUAAGGAGACUUAUUAUCCAAUACUCAAACCUGUAUACCAGAAAGCAUUGUAGCAAUGGCAACAUCAGCAGCAUCCUUUAUUGUUUGGAAAUUGCACAUAGCAACCUGAAAUAUGAGAGACAAGUAGGAUGAUCACUCUAAAAUAUGGUAUAGAAGGGAAAAAGACCCAAGAUACUAGAUACUCUACUACAAAAGAAUAGAAGGAAGAGAUGAAAUUAACCCAUGCCGAAGCACAAAAUGGAUGUAUAGAACAAGAAAUGGGAUUUGAUAUUUCUAAGAAGCUGCAAUAUUGUCAUUUGCUUCAAAAAAUGACUGAAGCACAUUAACAAACUAAAAUUGCAUCGUUCUUUCUACCUUUUUCACUUUGACCCAAUAUAAAACAAACUUUGUAUUCUGAAAGUGAAAUAUUGAGCAAGGCAUGCACAAGAGAAAACCAAUACCACUGAAUGUGAAGGAAGCUUCUGCAGCCGUAAAGUCACUUCAGUAAUUACCCCUAAGGUCCCUUCGCUUCCAAUAAUCAAUCUUGUUAAGUCAUAUCUGGCAGACAAUAAAAAUGAUAUGCAACAGUACUUUCUUAGUUUGAUUUCAAAUAUUUAGAGAAACUCUUAGUUGGAUUUCAAAUAUUUAGAGAAAGGUUCCAUCAUACCCAGCAGCACUUUUUCGAGCACGGGAGCCGGUCUUGAUAACUUCACCAUUUGCCAAAACAACCUGCACUUCAGAUAACAUCUGAUAACAUACCCCAUCAAAUUAACAUAAACAAAAUUCAGAGAAUAUCAUCAACAUACCAGAAGAUUAAUGACAUUGUCCCGCAUUGUUCCAUACCUAAAAACUAAGAACUCAAUCAUCAAAACCGAUUAAUUAUCAUCCAACCCACCAAUAAAUGCACUAUAGGUAACUUUUCUAUCUUUGAAGCAAUAUUAAUAACAUUAAGGAAACUAAACUAACAGUUAAAAGAAGAUGGAGGGUACUACCUUACAGCUAAAGAUCCAGAACAACGGGUAGCACACAUUCCUCCAAUUGUGGCUCCAGGUCCUGCAUGUCAAAAAUACAAGCCUCACCAAGUAUACUGAAUACCAAGUACUUACAUCCUUAUUCGAUCUUUACAUCCUAUUCAUGUGAAUAUAACAACUCACACCAGGUCCUGCAUUAAUUCCCCUAUUCUGCAGGUACAUUUCUUCUUAAAAUAGAAAGUAUGUAAGCUCUCUUCCAAAAUAAUUAGAAUACUCUUAUUUAUCGGCUCAAGUUGAGCACGCUGCUUAUCCAAAAGCAAUACAUAUGUUUGACAAAGUUAUUUUCAAAGGUCUUAGGCGAGAUGAACAGAACAACAUGAGCUUUCCUUUCCACGUCAGCUUCUCAAAAAGAGGAAGCAGAGUACCUUUCUAAAUGGUACCAGGUGGAAGUCCUUGCAUUAUCAUGUUCUAUUACAGCAGUCAAAUAUCAAUCUAGGAACUUAUAUAGCUAAAAACCAAAUGAUAGUCAUAUGAUAGUCAAUGUUCUAGCUCCCUCUUCUGUAAUUAAAGUACGCAAGUGAAGGUUUGGAGACCUUCAAUAGGAACCAAGGUCUUUACUAAAUAGCUCAUUAGUUUAAACAUACUCUUGCAAUCAGGAAAGGCAUUUACACUGUUAAGUCUUCACCAAUCAUUAUAAAACAGCACCUUAGUGCUGCAAGUUGGCAAGAGUGCCCCACAUAUUAGCAUGUAACAGCUGAAUGGAAGAAAAGGAUCCAUGUAGCUUCCAAAUAGUUGGAAACAUGUAAGUCUAUGCGUUUUCUUGUUAAUAAGUUCAAUGAUGAAAAAGAUGAGAAGUGUUAAAUAUAAAAAAUAUAUAAACACCGUUCUCUAAUAGCUUAAGCUUUUAGAGUAUAACGGUUGUUUUAUAUGGUAUCAGAGCAGGAGGUCCUGAGUUCCGAGUCACGCCAGGCUCCUAACAUUUUUAAUUUUCUCUCAUUUAAUUCAAGUCCACGUCAUGGAUCUUGCGAAAAAAAAAAGAAGUCUCGAGCCCAGACGUGAGGGAGAGUGUUAAAUACAAAAAAUAUAUAAACAAUGUUCUCUAAUAGCUUAAACUUUUAGAGUACAACAGUUGUUUCACAAGAAGAAAAGGAAAAGACUAAAGUUCAUUCAGUGGGUUAUAGAAGGCACUCUAUCAGAAGAUGCAAAAAAUACACCCUAAUGGCUGAAAAUCAGCAUAGUGAAUUGUCGUGAUUUCAUUGGAAAUUAUGACACAUACAAAUUAGAAUAUAACAUAAGAUUGCCAACAACACAUAAUCAGAUAAGUAAUCCAUUAUCAGAUAAGUAAGCCAGUAAAAUUGAACCAAGAUUCACGGUGAUUCCACAUCACGCUAGAACUAAAUUAUCAAAAAAAAAAAAGACACUCACAGAUAAAUAGACCUUUGUAAAUAAUUGAGGAAAAUUUAAAACAAGAGUGAUAUUUUACUAGCCUGGAUCCAAAGGGAAGAAAAGACCAUAAGGCCUCAGAUACUCAUUUAGUUCAAUCCAUCCAAUCCCUGGUUCAACAACUACAUCCAUGUCCUCAACAUUCAAAGAUUUGAUUUUCUACAAUAGAAAGAGAAAAGAUGAAUGAAUGGAAAAUAUUUAAAAUCAAAAAAGAGAAUAGGUUUUAGGUAACAAUUCGAAAAAAACUGGUGUCUUCAAAGGAUAACUAAAAUGAAAAAAAAGAAAAAGAAUUGGCAUAAACUUCGACCAAAACAAGAAAGACCGAAAUAUAUGAAAAAAUGAAUUGGCAUACUAAUUUGCUGAAGCGUGAAAUAUUACGAAAGUAUCAUCAUAGCUGAGUGCUCAUCAAGAAGCUCUUUACAUAUGAAUCAUUCUACAAGCAAGUUAGAUCUCAGGCAUAAACUAGCAUUAUACUCCAAGACCUAGACAGUCAGGUUACACCCAAAAAAAGGUGAAAGAUGGAAUCAACCUAUAUGCACCAUUGCUCUAGCACAUCAAGGGACAAAAACCAACAGGAUCAAACAACAAAUAUUCCUCAUUUCAAAAGGGCAAAACACUAGUAUUCAACUUCUUUCUUGCAGAAACUUAUUGAAUUUAAAUCCUGUGCAGCUACUUGUAUUAUCUACAUGAAUAUGGUGCUUUGAGCCAUGAUUCUAGGUCUAAUAUAUGUUUCUUACCAAGGGGGAAUAUAACAAGGUAAUAUGGAAAAGUUGGAUAUUUCUUCUGUCCUUUGAGUAGUCACAUCAUAGGGCAUGGAAUCUAUAGAAAGAUUUGAGAUGCUUACUGUCAUCAAAGACAUGUCAAUGCACACACCACCCUGAGGAGCUAAAGUAUGGCCUUCGAUUGAUGUAGCUCCACCAUAUGGUACAAUAGGAACCUACCACCACAACAAAAUGAGUAAUCACUCAAAUUAGACUCUCCAAUCCAAUAGAGCAAAAGGUCAAAUGACAUUCUUGAAAAGUCAUAUGCAGAAUGGACCAACAUGUAGUUAGUGGAAACAAUUUAAAAUACUGUAUUCUUGUAGAAGUGAAGCUUUCUCAAGAAUGUUAAACAUUUUCCAAAACCCUUUGUUCUUUUUCUUCGACAAGAGAAAGACGACAUACCUUAUACUUGUUGCAAGCUGUCACAAUCUUCUGCACGUCAUCUUGUGUUCUGCAUUGCAUUUUGAGCACAUUUUUUGUAAGGGAAAAGGAACAUUAACUCAAGAUUCUCUAGUUCAGAAUGUCAAAAUGAACUACUUAUACCAAAAUAAUUGGUAAUUGGCAGUGGAAUUGAUUCUAAAACAGAUAAUAAAAGAAGAGAAUCAAUUAGCUAAUUGACUUCAUCAAUUACUUCUGUAUAAUCAAGUACAUGCCUUUUCACCGCAGGAUUGUACUGACGAAAUGGAGAAUAGAAGGUUAAAUAUAUCUCCAUGCCACACAUAUGGCAAGAGAUACAAUGAGUAAAAGAAUGAUUCUCUACAGGUGACUUAUCAUCGCCACGGCAGAUGACAUAUGAUCAGAGGCCAAAGAUCAAAGGCUACAGUAGACAAACAUCAAUGAUGUAAUUAAAUUCUACUAAGCUUUCAAUCUCCACAUUUGCAAUAUUAACCUUGGGGAAAAGAAAAAAUGAAACAACUUAAAAAAGCAUCUUGAGAAAUUUCGUGACAAAGGGUAUUCUUCUAUUAGUUUGUUAGUUUUGGUUAAAAAGCAGUACAUGGUAGUGGUUAACUGUCUGAAUUAUUAUAAGACAUAUCUUGGGUGAUCUUCUGAUGAUAAGAAAUGGGACCUCAAACCAUAUUAAUUGAAUUUGAUUAACAAACUAUCCAAACCUGCAAUAACAAGUCUCCUAAUUUUUCUUCAGAUGUUAAAGCUAAUGUAACCGGCCUUGUAACCGGCCUUGAUUUUAAGUUAAUUGAAUCCGGCUCACCAGUUUCUAAGAAUCCUCAGAUUAGACACAGAGAUCGAGAGACCACUUAUUUAUCGCCUUGGCAAUGGGAUAGUCAAGUUUGCACUAGUUCUACUCAAAAUCCAGGCACAAUUAGCCCAUUGCCUUGUAAUAUGUACUAUUUUCAUUUUAAGUCACGCAUUACUACCUACCUAGUAAAUGUUGUGAAUGAUGAAGCUAACAUUGCUAAAGUCACCUAGAGUUGCAACAUACAAAAAUCAAGUAAUACACCAAUGAAUGCAGGGGGUGAAAAAAUAAACGAAAAAUAAACAAAACACCUAGGAUAGACGACAACAUCCGGAACAUUCACAGCUUUGUGGAAGCUAUUCUGUGGCUUGCCAUGGAAGUACCUCUCUUCAUAGUCGAGUGUCAUGUUAUUCUACCAAUUAAUUAGUGAGAAAAAAAACAUUAAACCAAUACCAUCCAAUAGCCAAAUACUCAGCAAUGUGAGUCUAACUGAGAUAAUACUUGCAAAAUCUCUCGCAACUCUUCGAUGAACUCCUCCGGAAUCUCCUUGCGAGUACCUCGAACCACUAGAUCGGUGCUCCCUUUCCCAUCUAUGCUGCAUAGUUGAAGCAAAAGUAAAGUCACCAUCCGAUCGAGAGUUUGUUGAUGAGAGGUGAGAAAAGGGAGAUCAAAAGGAGGAAGGAUUCGAACCCAUGAUCGAGGCCGGCGUCGCAGAGGGAGGGAUCGGGGCGGAGAUCGACGGCGAGGGCUCCGGCGGAGGCGGCGACGGCGAGGGGAAGGAGCGCACGCGACCAUGAGAAGGCGAAGCCCUCCGUGGCGGAGCUCGGGGGCUCGGGGAGGGCGGAGAGGAGUCGGGGGAGGAGGAGAGGGGAGCGGAGAGCUCGGCGGAGGAAGGGGCGGGGUGAGGAGGAGGAGGCGAGGCGAGAGAGGAAGGUGGAGAACAAGCCCAUGGCGAUGGAUAGGAGAGAGGGGGAGGGGAGGGGAGGGGAGAGUGACUAGUAUAGUUUAUCUUCUUCUCGAGUGGCGUUUCUAACGAGUAACGAGCAGGCGAUGACGCGACCGCAUCGGCGCGAGGUCGCGAUAGCGGUGGUGGAUUGGAGGAGGAACCGAGGAAGUAUACUGCAGCUGCUACACUAUAUAUUAUCUAUUUUUUACUAAUUAAUUUUUAAAAAUACAGUAAAAAUAAUUUUUAAAAAUUAUAAUAAAAUAGAUGAAUCUUAAAAAUAAUUUAAUUAAUUGCAAACAACAUAUUAUUCUUUAUCACCGACACAUUUUAUAUAUUUUUGGGAUUAGCCUCCUCUAUCAUCCACUUGCAUUAGUCAUCACACAACUAACAAAAAAAUAAAAUAAAAAUAAAAAUAUAUAAAAUUUGUCUAACUUUGAGACAAUUAUUGACUAUCUAAUCUUUUAAAAUUUUAAUGUUACUGUCUAAUUUUUUUUAAGGAUAUUUUAGUUUUAAAAUUUAAAUUACUUAUUUACUUUAAUAAAUUUUAUAAUUAUAAAGAUUAUAUAAAGUAUAUUAAUUAAGUAUAUAAAAUAAAUAACAUAUUUAUAUUUGGAUGUUAGUUGAAUUCAAAUAAAAAAAAAAUAAAGAAAAAGAAAAAGUAAAAAACAGUCAUUAGGAGGUGCCCGCCCGUUCGGAUCCAAUUUCAAAACCACCGAAAGUCCUUCGUAAAGGCCGGGGCGGUCUGCUCCCAUCUCUCCGUUCGUCUCCGACCGCCCAACUGCAGAUGGAGGCGUCCAUCUCCGCCUUCUGCCGAUCCCUCUCCGCCUUCUGCCACCACGUCGAGAGCGCCUCCGACUCCCUCUCCGACUCCAUCCAGCGUCGUCCCAUCCCCCUCGGUAACCUCAUCCCAAACCAUUCUCAUCUCCCUCUUAUAUAUUCGUGUAUGCUCAUCCCCUUCUCUCUCUCCCCCUCUCUCUCUCUCUCUCUCUCUUCCUUAGAUUCCGCUGCCUCCGCCUUCUUGCAAUGCCUCGACCGCCGCGUCUCCGCCGCGAGCGCCGACCUCGACCUCCUCGAAUCCAUGGCGCUCGGCACCGUCUCCUUCGAGGAGCUCCUCGGCCACUGCAACGAGGUCUACAAGAUCAACCUCAAGUACAUCUCCGACCUCGAGGACCGCUUCGCCUCCUUCGGCUACGUUCCCGGUAACCGAUCGCAAUAUCGCAGCCGCCCGAACCCCUACCUGUUUGUGGUCUUCUUUUUAAUCGAUCUCGAAUUCUCGAUUGCUAGAGGUAGAGGUGGAAGACGAUGAGGGCGGCGAUGAGGAUUCUGGCGUUCUUUCCAAGUACAUGAGCCCUGAUAACGGCGUCGGUACGUCGCACUUUGCUUGCAGGAAACGGCUCAAUGACGAUUUUUUGUAUCCUUUUUUUGGUUCAUAAUUUUCUUCAUAAUUUUCUUCAAGUAGAAAUUUCUCUCAUUCUAAUGCAGUAUAGUAGCUUAUUUUUGGAAUAAUUGUAGAUCUGAGAUCUUAGAAUGCGAAGUGUGUCAAGCUUUACAGUUGUGGCACGCCUGUUUGUAUUUAGUACCUAAAGAUACAAUCGUUUUUGUAGCUAGAAAGUUAUGAUUCCUCGCAAUGAGUUAUGGUCUCGCAAUUCAUGGGAGUUCUUAUUAUGCAAUUGCACUGCCGUAUCGAUGUAUCAUGAAUCUUGAUCCUCCCUUUACUUGCCUUCGUCUUCUUUAUUUUUGAACGCUUGCUGUUUACGAGUGCUCAAUAUUCUCAAUGAGUCUGCAUCAAGAAUAGCAUGAAUUCAUUUCAACCCCAUAGUUUUUGGUUCACCAAAAUUUUCGAUUUACACUACCUUGGUUUACAGUGCAGCUUAAUGUAUAUUACAUCUGAAAUGGCAGCAUAUAUUUGCAGCAUUUAUGUGUCUUUCCCUGACUAUCGGUAAGGUUCGAGGACUCUGUUUCACUGCGAAAUCUUGGAUUUUCAGAUGCUUGCCUGGCCACUCUAGCCUCCGAAGGUUUGACACAUUUCUGGAUAACUGUAUUUCUCACAGCAGGCUACUAGAGUGCUAAAACUUGUAAAUUCUUGCUCAGAAUAUAUUCUGAUUAAGAUGAUAGCAUCAAUAUGGUCUCUUUUAAGUGGUAACAAAUCAUGAACGGCCUUCUCCAAUAUUCUGAAUUUCGAGCCUUAAGUAGCACAAUUUGAUAGCCUCGUAUAGGGAAAUUCCAAGUGCAAUGAGAAACUUACCACAGAAAAGGACUUAAGAAUACCUGUUAUGUGUGAGACAACCAAGUAGCUAGUUUUGGCUGUUUUGAUGCUUUGUUAUUGUGUAAUUGUUGCGACUUAGCAUUCCUGGUGUCAACAGUUGUGUGAGUGCUAUCUGAAGGUUAGACCAUGGAUCUAAUGGCUGCUGAGGAUAAUAUUGGAUGUCAACAAGCCGAUAGAGUUGUGGCUUCCGGAAAUAGCCUUAAGAGGAGAAUAAGAGGCUCGGUUAUUGAUGAAUUCUUCCCUAUAUUAGCUUUUUGGAACUAGGACUUCUUUGUCCCAAAAGCAUUUUUCCAUGCUGCACUUGCAUAAAUAACUUGAACAUGCCUUAUUAAUGUACUUCAAAGGUCUGCUGAUCUACUCAGAGUGGCCAACUGAGUGAAGAGGAAAGGAUGAGUGAAAAGGCUGUCUAAACUCUAAAGGUGUUAUCUAUAAACAUGUCGCUACUGGAUACUACAACAUUUGUUUAUUUUUGAUAAAACUGUAGUAUUGCAUGUAUUGUUUGUUUCUUAGUUGUUGAAUUGUAAUAUUUCUUUGUCAAAACAUCAUUUUAUAACUUAUGGAAAGUCUUGUCAGGUGACGAGCGUGAUGCAACUCUGAAGAAAUUUUCAGAGCUGGAUAUGAGGUAUUGUUGGCAAAGUUUCUUUUUUUUUUUUAAAUUUUUGAAUCAUAUUUUCCUCAUCCAUUACUUAAUAGUUUGUUGAUGAUUUCGCUUAGUGAUGAUGAGGGCCAACCACAUGAAAAGAUAACCUUCUCUCAACUUACGAAGGAUGUUCUAAAUACCCAAGGUGCUAUAUAAUUUGUCUGUUUGGGAUUACGUUGUGAUCAACUAACAAGUUUAAUCUCUUUGUUUGGCUACUGAUUUUGCUAUGUGCUAUUGAUAAGAUGGAAGUGCUACGAACUCAGUUAUAAAGGUGUCCAAGGAUGACUAUGAUAAUCUUCCUUCCUAUAUGAAAACUCUAGCUUCCUGGGAGGUAUGUAUAUCAUCAUGCACUAGCAACACAAUGUUUAAUGUCUCGUACAUGAAACAAAAUUUAUUGUGUUAUUUUUAAAGUGAAUUUUAUUCCUCAGGCAUAGUAACAACUGUUAAUCUGCAUAUGCAUUGUAGUAACCUUGCUACAGUAGCAUAAAGGUUGCACAGAACAUCAACUUUUGUAUGCUGCUUAUAAAUUUCUAGCAUAUUGACUAAGCAACACAUUGACUUCCCUAAUUUUCUCGAGUCCUUCUACCUCUUUCUUAUUCCAAAUAUCGGGAAAGUGGUUCCAAGUAUGUGACAUAAGGAUGUGCAGGCCCUGAGGUUGUGCACCAACUUUUUAUUCGAAGAAGUAAUUUAACAAUAACCUAUACUCUGAUACCAUGUGUUGCCGAAGUGAUAGUUUCUCUUGAAUCUUGACGUACCAUCAUGUGCUACAUGUUUCAUCAUUGUGCGGGCCGCACCGCUUGUAUUCUCUAGGUGGAGGUUCCCCAAAAAACGUGGAAUUGGGUGGUUGCAUGUGCAGUUGCACGCGCAACCGAACAUUCCAAAAGGGCCUCUGCGAUUGAAUGCUGCAAAGCUUUGUGCAAUGCGAUGGCCAAACACCUACUGUAUCUAUCUACCUUCUGAGAAUUCCCAUUGCAGUUGGCAGUAAUACUUCAUCUUUUAAGUUUUAACUAUUCAACUUCAUUAAUGUUUAUGUGCUCUCUAUUCACUACUAUGCUACUUGCUGAAUGCCCCAUCUACCACCUGCAAUUUCGUAUAAUAUUGCAGAAAAACAGCGUUUGGUUUAAAUAUUGGCUUGUAAGUUAAUUUGUCUGACUCUUGAUGGAUCUUGGUACUUUGUUAUAUUCACUUGUUAUUUGAUGUAAGCUAGAGUACCAGGAGAAUUUAACUAUUUAUUGCCUAUUUGCAUUUCUUCUUGACUAGUUUAUAUCAAAUAUUCUUAUGCUAAUUAUUGCGUCCUUGUCACAGGAGUUGCAGGACGCCGUUGUAAAGUUGAAUUCAUACUUCUGCAAAGACAGAAGUGAGGGAAGUGAUAAACUUAACCAGGAUGAUACUGAAAAAAUAGGGCUAGGUGAGUGAAUUUAUAAAACUGGUUGCCUCCGCAUUUUGUGAGAUCUUGCUCUUUUUCUGUGUCCCGUUUACAAAUCACUUGUGACUGACCACAACUACAAGUAAUACUACCUCAAGCGGAAGUUGGAACUUUGCAUAUGACAUAAAGGAAAUUAGUAUAAUCUAAACAACUGCGAAUCUGCAACAUCUUGUCCAUCUUAUGCGUUGCCAUUACAGUGAUUUAGAUGCUGGUUUGUUCUUGUUGCAGGGCGCAAGGGACGGUCUUAUCUGUUAGUACUCUUACGGAUGAAUCAGUUAACUAUGGAGAACAUUGAUGGUUCCAUUUUCUAUCACACGUGCGUCAACUGAUCCGCCUAAUAAUGUCCUGCAUACCUGAAGCAUAUUCUCUACAUAGAAGGCUAUACAAACCCAAAAGGAUGGCUAUGUGAAGCUUUUUCUUUGCCUCAUUCUCAGUUUCAAGAUGAAUGAUGGCACCAUAUCUUGUGUGAAUUUAUGCACCAGGUCAGGGAGUAGCUAUUUGUGAAAGUCUUUUGAUUUUACUUCAGACCAGUAAUUGUAAUUCACUAAAAGUUGUUUUAACCCUCUAGAAUCUAGUGUAACUUUCCCUGAUCAUCUCCAAAUGCUAAAUGACGGAGGCGAGCGAGGACUUGAAGCUAGUCAAUGUAAUUAUCGUGUUUCUGUACAUCGGUUUUCUUGCUAAAAUUGAUUGCCUUCUCUGCUUCUGCCUAUUCAUACAAUGAGCUGCAGGAAGUGAGAUUCAUGUGGGGGAAACAGUCGAGGAAUGAUUUUCAAAAUAUUAUGUAACUCGUGUCUCACUAACAACACAUCCGUAAAAAGAGUUACAAAUAUCAAAAUCAGAUGAUAAAAUUAAAACUUUUAAAGUUUGCUUGCCUAUUUAAGCUUUGUCAGUGAAAUUAGAAUUUAUGUUUUUAUUUUUACAAAUACGUGACAUUUUUAAGAAUUAUAAAUUUUGAGAGGUCGAAUUCAAAUUAGCCAUAUAGCUGAGGGGGUCCCCGUACAUUUUGUUUUUUUGUUUUUUUUUUUUUGAAAGAUAGAUAGCAUAUUAUCGAUUCGUUUAUUUCAUUUAGAAAUAGCCUUAACUGAAAAUAUAAAUCAACUAAAAUUCAAAUUUGGAAUCUCAAAUAUCAGCCACCAAAUUUAAAUUUAGAAUCUUGAAUAUCAACCACCAAAUUUUUUAUUAUUUGCACUAGCGACCGUCGGUGUCCCCGUACAUUUUGUUACCAAUCGAAGUAGGGGAAUGACUAGUAUUUGGAUUGGAUAGCGUCGUUGGCGGUGCUCCGAACUCCGAAGAGGAUCAAAGACCCAGAGCAUCACCGGAGGCGCGAUGGUCUCCUACGCGGGCGUGGGCUCGCUCCUCCCGAGACUCGGGUGGAUGCGGAUGCGGCGGCCCCCCAAUCCGAAUCCGCGGUCGAGGUGGCCGACGCGGACGACGACGACGACGACGAGGAGGAGGAGUCGCUCUUUUUCCUCCUCCUCGCCUCUCCGCGCCGCUCUCGAUUCCCCCGACGUCUCCCUCCUCGCCGACGCCGCGCGCAUCUCCCUCUCCCCCAACGAAGUAUCCACUCUCUCUCUCUCUCUCUUUCUCUCUCUCUCUCUCUCUCUCUCUCUCUCUCUCUGGGGGUUGUGUUUUAGGGUUUAGGGCAAAAUCAUGGCAAUUUCCCCAAUUUUGUCCAUGGCAGGUUCGAGAAUUCGAGCCCAAGAUUAUGCAGGUCAUUGACUGGUAAUUCCAUUCUCUCUCUCUCUCUCUCUCUCUCUCUAAACCCACUACUGUUGCUAUCUUGUGCUGCUUUGGAGCUGGUGCUUGAAUUUGGAUUGAUGUUGUUGUAAUUCGACACUAGAUCUAAAUUUAGUGAAAGUGGGAGCUCCGACGCCGUGAAGAUCCGCUGCCGCCUAUUCGUGGGCUUAGCUCGUUAAAAGGAGCUUCCCUGAAAAGGUUCAGAGUUUUUGUGGAAAAAGAUUGAAAAUGUAGCCCACGGCUGGACGGCGUGGUUGUGAUCGAAUACGCGGUUGCAGUUAUUCCAAUCCAAAUGCGCCCUUAAUUGAAUGUCAUGUAUGUUAUGCUUCUCGGUUCAGAUGGUGAGUUUAAAGUAAGCGGUCACGCGAUUGUGUUUGUGGAAUUGUAUUAGUAUCACGUGCUCUUACAUUCCUUUUCUUUGUUCAGAUCAGUAAUAGCUCUGCUGCUAUUAUUCCUGAAGCAUACAUCUUUUCUGGCUUUGAGUCCUUAUUAUUUCACUUUCAUGUUCAGCAAGUAGAGUAUCAAUGUGAUUUACAUCUACAUUCCAUUAAUAUCAAUAGCUGGAGAAAUUAGUGUGAAUAGAAACAUGGCUUGAAUAUUGUACAUUAUUCUAAACAAGGAUUCAAAACCAAUAGGGCAGCAAUUUAAGGGCGAGAAAGAGAAAAAAAUAUAAUCAGAAGGAUAGAAAUGAUCGUAUGUUAAGAUUCAACUAAGAAUUGCGGCACUUAAUUACUACAUCUCGUCAUAUACCUUGAUGUUUAGAAAAAAAUUUGGUGGUUGAUUGAGGCCCAAAAGGUACUCAUUUGGAGUACUCGAUUGAGGUUCAGGAAUCUGAAUUUCCUCGUGGAGAGUAUUAAUAAUAUUAUAUAUAAGAAGAUUAUACGGGGAGAGGUCCACAUAAUUCUCUAUUGAGUGUACAAAUGAGAUCAAGAACUUAAUGUGCACUUAUGUUCUACUACCUUCUUUGUUCUAACCUUUUGCAUCCAUCCUAUAACAGUAUAUUAUGAAAGAUAGAUCAAUUUAUUUAAUUGCUCUUUUACUUGAUAAUAGGUUUGGGCAACUCCAGGCUGUUGAUCUUGAGAGUAUCGAACCUUCACUUCGAGCUAGUAUGUAUAAGAUUUUUAUUGAAUUUAUCAUGUUCAUGCCGGUGAUUUUUCACUUUACCAUUGAAUCAGCAUUCAUGUAUGUUUGUCCGGAGUCCAACCUCUGCCUGUGUUGAAAGGUCUAUAUCAUGAAUCUCAUAUGAGAAAUAUUUCAAAUUCGAUGUGAUUAUAAGUGUUUAAAAUUUGAGAAGGGUUAUCUAGUAUAUGCUGUUUCUACGGCACUGAAAUUCGUCCUUUAUUGCAUGAGAAUUUUAGCAGUAAUAUAUUGCAUCAGCAGUUUCAGCCUGAUCCUUGUAAUUGUCUUCUUAAAUUACAUCUUAUGAAGUAUUUUACGUUCAAUGCACUGUUCGUCAUCUACACUACUUAACUAUGACUGAAUGAAUUGGUUUCCGUGAUCAGAUACUGAAGUAGAUGCCCGUACAAGAGAAGAUGCGCCAGAAGCAUUUGAUAACAGGUUGUAAAAAGUCAUGCUUUAAGACCACACUCCAUUUUAGGGUCUAAUAUUUUCCCUUUAUAGUCAACAAAACCUAAAUAUUUGUUUUGUAUGAACACAGGGAGGCCAUAAUAGCAGCUGUUCCGAGUUACGAGGAUCCAUACAUCAAAGUUCCAAGAGUAUUGAACAAGGAAUGAAGUUUUAGAUUUAAAUAGUUUGAUUGGCGUCAUGAGUGGGAAUUCUUGUGCAGGUUUUUGUCUACGACUACUAUUCCAUUGUCACGUAAACUAAAUGUAGCUGUUACUGGGAAUGUAAUAUUGGCGACUAUUUCACUCUAAACUAUUAAUAGGAGCAUUAUGUAGUAAAUUUUUCGAUCUGUUUUAAGUCCUUGCUCCAAAAUCAUAACCUUUAUAGUGGCAAUUUUGCAUAAAUUUUUUACGUCUCCGGAAGCCAAAAAGUAACUGAGAAGUGGUUCAUUUUUUGUAAUUUUUUAUUUCCAGUUAAAAUAAGGAGCAUUACCUUCCCUAACACUCCGAACUCAAAAGUUUUAGGGAACAUUUGACAAAAAUGAACGUUUGUGAAAGUUGUCCUUUUGAUAUUUACAAAUUCUGUGAUGUCAUAAUAAUUCAAAGGAAUUGUACAACAAAUGUCACAAGCAAUACAUUUAUCAAAUUUUAUUGAAUUUUUUCGCUACAAGAAACAAUGAAAUUUAAAGAAACUUGCUUAGUUGAUCAGUGGUCCCAAUAAAUCUUUACCAAUAAUCAAGGCAUGAACAUUUCCCUUCCAUAAAAUGGUGAAACCUGCUCCCAUCUCUCACAAUAAUCUCCCUACCCAAAACCUUAGUAACCAUCUUACUAAACUCAUGACAAUCCCCACACACCCUCAAAUUUUUCACAAUUCUUAUGGGCUUUGAUACCUCAGUCACCAUCAACCCAAAAGCAAUAGCCAACCUCUCACUAUGCUCCUUUAUAACAUGCACUUUUUCCUCAUCCCCUAUAUCAUGCAAAACUGAAGAAACAUCAGGAGAAUAACCUGCCUCAGCUAAUCUCCUAUCAACCAUUUCAAGUCUUUUGUAGAUUCCAAAGCAGUCCUUGUGUUCUUUAUCCCCUGCCACAAAUUUAUGCACACAACCAUAGGCCUCUAUCAAGCUCCAACCUGCGACCUUAUUCGUCCCACGAUCAACCAUUAACCUUCGAACCUUACUAACAUCCUCCCAUUUUCUCCCCCUUGCGUAGAUGCUAGCUAGAAGAACGUAAUGGCCGUCGUGGGUCGGUUCUAGUUCAAUGAGUUUGUUCCCUAUAGUGACCCCUAAGUCUAUCAAUCCAUGCAUCUUGCAUGCUCCCAACAAGGUGCCCCAUAGUACCGGGUCGGGUGGAGUACUCAUCCCUUCAAUCAAUUCGAGGGCUUCGGGGACUAACCCAGCACGGCCCAAAAGAUCGACCAUGCAACCAUAAUGCUCCACCUCGGGCUCAAUGUUGUAUUCUUCUACCAUUGAUUUGAAAAAGUUUCGGCCUUCGGUGACUAAUCCGGCACGGCUACAUGCAUUUAGAACCCCCACAAAUGUCACAUUCGUGGGUCGAAGCCCUUCGCCGAUGAACUGUUGGAAGAGCUCCAGUGUCUCCUUUGCAAGUCCAUGUAUGGCCAAACCACAUAUCAUAGCAUUCCAGGCAAACACAUCUCUCUGCGGCAAAUCAUCAAACAAGCGCCGCGAGAUCGCGAUGCAUCCGCAUUUCGCAUACAUGUCGACCAGUGCUGUGCCGAGCGCCAUGGUUAUGGGGAAAUUGACCUUCCUUACAGUGUCGUGAAUGAAUUGGCCAUUCUCGAGCAAACCCAGCUGCGCUGAAGCCGAGAGGGCCGUCACCAAUAUAGCCUCGUUCACCAUUAAUCCUCUCCUCGUCAUCUCCCUAAAUAACCGCAGCCCCUUCUCCAAGAUACCGUUUUGGACAUAGCCCAUGAUCAUCGUGCUCCAAGAGAUCACAUCCCUCUGAGGCAUUUCGUCGAACACCUCCUCCGCAGCGCUCAUGCGGCCCGACCUCGCGUACCCUGCCAAUAUCGCGUUCCACGUCACCACAUCACGCGAUCGUGGCCAUUCAUCGAAGACCCUCCGCGAGCUAGUUAUCUCCCCACACGAGCCGUAGAAGUGGAUCAACGCGUUCCUCACGUACAGAUCCCCAUCGAGCCCGAGCCGCACCGCGUGGGCGUGGACCUGGGCGCCCUCGCGGAGGAGCGCGGGGGCGACGCUACACGCUUGGAGGAGGAAGGGGAAGGUGUAGUUGUUGCUGGGGACGCCGAGCCUCCGCGCGCGGCUGUAGAAGGCGAGGGCCUCGCGGGACGCGGUGCGGCUCCGUGCGAAGCACCGGAUGAGGUUGUUCGCGGCGAAGGCGGUGGGGCGGUCGAUGGAGGCGAAGACGGCGCGCGCGUAGACGAGCGCGGCGGGCGCUGCGGCGACUACGGCGGCGGCGGCGGCGGCGAGGAGGAGGCGCGCGGCCGCGGCGCGGGAGGAGGCGAGGCCGAGGACGACUAGGCGCGCGUGGGCUUGGAGGAUGUGGGAGAGGGAGGGCUGGGUGGGGAGUCGGGAGAGGGUUUCGCGGAGGAGGUGGUGGGGGUCGAGGGUUGGAGAAGAGAGGGAGAGGGCGUGAGAGGGGCGUGAAGGGACGCGGAGGGGGAAAAGCGAGAACUCAAACCGCAUCAAAUGAGAAAUGGUGUGUGUGUUCAUACGCCAGGCUUUCCGUAUGGAAGAGGAGGAAGUAGUUUCGUAAUCGUGAAUCAGUGAGUUGAACCCGGUCCGGUCCGAUAAAAAAUAGACGGGUUCGAUUAGCUUCGGUUCGGUUUGGUUGGGCUAAAAUAUAACAUAGAAAAGGAAAGGAAAAAACAAAAGAAAGCUAAUCAAAUGAAGUGAAGACGUUGAAUCUAUUUGGCAAGGAAACUGGCCACCACAUAAUACAGAAGCUUAUCUUCAUAUAUUAUUACCUCAUCCAGGUCCAUGUUCAGAGUAACCACCUCACCGACUAUGCCUCUCGCGACUGUUUCGUCCUCUGCCGUCUCGUCUCCGCCGCCGUUGCCACAACCGAACCGCUUUCGAGCCCGACGGCCAAGCCUAGUCGUAGUUUGUUGCAAAUUGGGUUCAGUGAAUGCCGCAGAGAGCGGUGGAAAAGACGAGCUGACAAUAGGGUCUCCGAUCAUCGUGGUUGUGGCUCCGCCGACGCUGAAGACGGCGAGCUCCAUGCCGUCGCUGAGGGUCAACUCCGGGCUGGUCAAGCCCGGCGAUGUAGGAAGGUAUGUUAAAAACAACCUUACUGUUUGUUGUAAGGUGUUUUAACCCACACUCAAUGCUAAACUUUUCUUCUGAAAUAUUUCUCUUUGUACCUAUGGGGCAACAGAUAGAUGUUUAGCAUCAGCAGAGUUUCCUGAAGCCCUGAACACAAACCACAAACUUACAAUUACUGCGCUCUGCCUCUUCCCUUUUUUUGGUUUUCCUUUUCCUCUUCUUUUCCUGAUCGUACUGCCAGUAUACAUGCUCUGUUUUUGAUAAUUGAUGCAGUAAGAGAAAUAUUACAUACACUCAAAUUUUAGAACAGGUGCUGAUACAUGAUACUGCAGAAUUGUGGCAAGGAAGCCUAAAGACGUCUGGGCCGUCCGCCUCGCGAUUGGUACAUACCUCAUUGAUGGCAAGCACUUCAAGCCCUUGGAUGUCGACGAAUGAGCAAGAUACAGGAUGGUCCCAAAGACAAAGAUUCGCGCACAAGUUGCAGUUUUCACUUUGUGUUCACUAAAUUGGCACAUCUGAAAAUUUUGUAACCAUCAGUAUAUAAGAAAUAUAAGGCAGGUUUUUUUAAUCAAAAGGUUUCACAGCAAUUGCAACAGGUCAAUCUGCUCAUUCUCUGCCUAGGAACAUUAGCAGCUUUCAUUAAUUAUGAUGCAGAAUAUAAAACUAAACAUAGAAAACAGAUAUUACAUCAAAUUGCUCCAAGUGGAACUUAGAUAUCUGCAGUUCUUGUUUUCCAGUCUGCAAAGACCAGUAAGGCAACGGUAGGAAAGGCGGUAGUGAAAACCUUUUGCCCGCUGUAGUUUCAAACCUGCAGAAAUUUUAAGUUCUGGAAAUAGGGGAAAGAGCAAGAAACAAAGAAUGCGCCUCAACUCGUCUAGAGAAACAAAAAUGAUCGCAUAACACACGCAGAGUUUACCUUACAAAUAAAAUAGCAUCCGAUAUGCUUCCACAAAUGAGUCAAACGACGAAAGGAAAGAAAGACCAGUGAGAAGAAACAACAAUACACCAUAAAGCUCCUAUUUUUAGGAAACAAACAAAUAUAUAUUGCACAUAAGAAGGAACAUUUUAUUGUAUAGGUAUGAUUUACAGCUGGCCCAAGCUAUCCACCCUUGCUCCAUGGCUUUAAGACGGCCACCACAAUGAUCACGACAAUUAGGAGAAGGAUAAUGAUGGCUAUGCACAUCCACUUGCGAGAAUUCUUUUGCAGCUUCUUCGCCUUCUGGAGAGCGACUGUGCCAUUUUGCACAUGGUCGAUGGCACUAGAGACCUUCAAAGGAGAAGGCAUAGAAAAGUAUAUACAAAGUUAAGUAGAUGCACAACAAUUUGAAGGCAUAGAAAAGAUACUAACAUGCAUUACAUGCUAAUUCUUACCUGGGAUUCGAUGUUAUCCAGCAUAUCUCCUUGAGCCUCAACCAAGACCGCCAUAUCGAGAAAUAUCUACAUCGGAAUUCAAAAAAAGGGUAAUAGUAGGACACAAAAUGCUCAAAGUAAAAUUAUAUCUACACCUUGAAGAGCAUUAACAAAAGAAAAAACAACCAUCUAGAGAGGAGCGUUUAGCCAUAGGUCAUAAAUAAGAUUAUGGAGUAAAUGCAUAGUAAUGACAAGAGACAGGUUGGGUCCAAUCAUUUUAUUACUAAUCAAAAUAUGUACUUGCGAAGCAAUCAUUUUAUUACAAACUUUAGUUCCAAAAAUGUUCCUUUGAUACCUCAAGAUUCCUCGAGUCAUGAUUAUAGUUAGUUAUUCACCUAAAAAUUUCAAAGUUUGCAUGAACAGACCUACCUGUUGCAGUUCAAGAAGCUUUCUCUCUAAUUCCCUUACAGUGUCAUGACGUUCCUGUAUUUCGGCUAAGGUGUCCAUUACCUGCAUUAAACCAAAAUGGGUAUAUCAUUUGUAUCUAGAUGUAUAGAUUGAGAUUCGGAAUGACUAAACAUGAGAAAAUUGUUCAUAUCAAAGAAGUCUUAAUCAGUCAAUAUUCACAAAGAGAAAUGCAAUCAAACAAAAACAAACCUGACCACGUCCUUGAAUAGCAUUCUGAAAGAUCUGUUCACUAUUUCCUGUCUCUAUCAAUUGGUCGAUAGUCUGUAUGCCAAAAUUUCAAAAAUAAUGAAUUAUAAAAGUUCAAUUAAAAUCUCAACUGUUUAAAUAUUAGCAUGGGAAUGAGCCUACCUCUUCGUCAGCUCGAGUGCCAGUUACUGUCAAUGACCAAUUGAAAGAUGAACAGAAAGAAAAAGAAAAAAGUCAACCUUACUAGGAAUGGAAGAAACAGUGAAUUCUAAAUAAUACAAUGAUUCUUUUCAUCUUGAAACAAAAACAGACCUGUAAAGACUCUUCUUUCAACAACUUCUCUGUAUUCUUGAUGGAUGGUUUCCCUUAGAGACUGCACACCAAAUUAAGCAAAUUAUAAUUUAUUAAACAAACAUUUACUCUAUUAAAAGACAGUGGCAUCUAACAUCAUUAUCAUUAGUGUGUCUUCCAUUAUUAAAAUUAGAGUGUCUUCUGUCAGUUUCUCCCGUUCUUACAUGACACCUCUGUAUUGUCAAAUUCAUCUUUUUAUUGUUCCCUAUUUCCUGUUGAAUCACAAUAUGGAUUUCCUUCUUCUCAACUACCUUGUGCCAUGUAUACUUUCCCUUCUUGAUUGUUGCUAUUAUUCAAAAAAAUUGUUUAACUAGUUCGCAUUAAUUUGUCUGCAGCCCGCAUCAAAAUUGCUAAAUAAGCUAGUAAAGAAAAAUCAAUUAUUCACUUUGAUAUAUUGUUUUACCUUCUCUCUUAUAGAAGGCAACUAAAUGUUUAAAAUUACAAUAGAAUGCAGUAGGCAUAAAUUAAGAAACCAUGAAUAAGACCAACCCAUACACCCUAACCCGAUUAAUUGAAACCAGUUAAAUUGUUUUCUUGAAAUCAUUGAAUGGAGAUAUUACCUGAAAAUCAUCCAUCCUCUCUUUUAGUUUCUUCUUCAAUGCUCUGCAGACCAUCAAAAAUGUGAUCUCAUAAGGUUAUUGUAAUAAAAGAAAGGAAAAAAAAGAAAAAGAAAAGCAGAAUGAGGUAAACCAGAAUGUAACUUACACAGUAUUUGACGUUCGCAAACGAUCUACAGUUGAACCCUUGCCACAUCCUUGCUUUUGUCUAUUGCUUAAAUUCUGCUUAAGAAAACAUGAGUGAAGUUUGUGUGAUUAAAUUCAUAAGUUGGAGGCUUGAAAGGUCAUGGGGCUCACAUUCACUCAUGUCAGAAAAAGAAAAGAAGAGAAAGAAUGUUGGAUUUUAUAUUAUAGCAUUUUCAUAAAGAAACCAGUAACAUAUAAAGAGAUAACAAAAAAAGGCUAUCCAAAUAGAGGAUUUUAAGCAGCAAAAAUUAAGCUUCUCAUAUUACGUCGUUAAACGCUCAGGCAAUUCGAUGAGAAGUUAAAAGAAAAUUUCCUUUUAUAGAUAACAGGAAGGAAAUAUGAAACACUCAACUCUACAAAAACCAAGAAAGACAAAAUCUAAAGACAAAUGAAACUUGACCAUUAAGAACAAGUUAAACCCAUAAUUCAACGAAAAAAAAAUAUCAUACAAACUGCUAUUCAGUUAACCUCACAGGCAUAGAAAAGUUGAAUCUUUUCUAUGUUGCCACUCAGUUCAACUUCCAGACACUUUGAAUCUGCAUUUUCAAAAACUUGAGAAGAGUCUUGAAAAGUCCUUUACUAUGUUGUAACUACUCUAAAACUUAUGUGAUUAGAUUUAAAAGUUAAAAAACAUACAUCUUUGUCCAGCUCUUCAAGCUUUGACUUUGCUAGACGAGCAAUUUUACCCACUUCGUCAAUAUCUUUUUCCAUCCGCUGCUUGAUUGCUAAAAUCAAAGGCAUGCUUAACAGUGAUUAUUAUGUCAUAAAAUGGUCAGAUAAUUGUACAUACCAGAUAUGUAAAAAGAACAAAAGAAGAUAUGAAUUACAUGCAUAAUCAAAUUCACUUACCUUUCAUAGCAGCCGCCUUUGUAACAGCCUUCGACUCCUCAUUUGCAGUCUGCAAGCAAAGGCAGUAGGUUAAUUUCCAAAAUACAGCAUUAGCAUUGUAGGUUAAUUUCCAAAAAAGCAUUAGCAUCACUUCAACUGAAGAGAAAUUCACUAGAAAGUAGCAACUCCAGAACCAAAAGAGCAAUUGGGUAAACUAUAGUAGUUAUGCAAGCAAAUUCUGGUAAGAUGGUGAUCGAAUAAUUGGAUGCCCCAUAUUCCCAGUCAUGCCGCUGUGGCACUCCGCCUAAUGCUAGACUCAACAAAGUGUUUCUGAUGCAUACUUCCAUAAAAGGAAAUUAUAAGCAAAGUGUUUCUGAUGUAUACCUGUAAUUUCUUCAACAGCUUAGAGAGCUUGUCAAUUUGUUUCUCUAUCUCUUGAACCUAAAGAAAAAGAGAGAAUUAUUGAGCGAAUAGAAGAGGUGAUAUUUGUGUAUAAUGCAUCAGACAUAUUUAAAACCUGCUUGAAGAAAUCAUCCAGUCCUAAUUCUGCAGUAUUUUGUUGGGCCUGCCCUAAUUCAAUGUCUCCGCCUCUUGACGUCUGGCCUCGAGGGAGCUCGAAGGAAUCCUGCCAAUCGAUAAAGUUUAUAAAGAAGGAUACAACAUAUAUGAGUAUAUUGAAGUUAUUCUGUGAGAAGAAGACAACAUAUGAUUUCAAACAUCCAUAAAGAUUCUUUCCAUUUGGUGAUAUUUACAGAGCACCAUAACGCCCCACCAAUAGGAACGAAGAAAAUUAUCUACAACAUCAUGCAAUGCGAAGGAUUUAUGCUUAAGCAACUCAUGGAUCAUUGCUCAAGUGACAGUGUGAUACUUCUAUCACUUCAAUUAUAAUAGCAGUUAAAAAAAAAAGCAGGCAGGCUUCUGCAAUUGAUAAUCAUCCAGAAGUACGAUUUAAAUCAGCUGAUAAAUGUGCUUGCAUGACGUUUCCCUCUGGAGAGAAUAAUUUUUCCCAUUGACUGAUUAGAUUAAAUCCACAUAAAACUGUCAAAUGCAUUGCUCGUUUUCUUGUAUUCUUGCCAAACCUCAAAAGUAUUGCUUUUUUUUUUUCCGAUAAAUCCAUCACCGGUAGAGAUUAUUCUGCAUGGAAAUCGAGCAUCCUGAAGUCUAAAAACAUUGUCAGAACAGAAAAAAGAUAAGUUUUAUGGGCUCAUAAGAAGAUUCCAUUAAAUCAAAGGAAUUGCCGAUCAAGCAUUCUUGAAAUUAAAGGCCGCGAGAAGUUAUAAUAUUAGGUUUAUUCACAAAAAUAAUUCCAUCAGUCCUCAUCAAGUACUCCGUUGUUCCAGAUUUUAAAGAAGCCACGAAAACAGGGCCAUAGAACACUAAAAGUUCACGAAUUAGACAAUAUACUCUUUUUUGUUUGUUGUCCCACAUGCGAUUCACCCAGCGAUCUUUUCUUGUUCUUAAAUCAAAACUUUCCCAUCCCACUAUUACUCACAUGAUCUCACCAUAUCCCCUUACGAGUUAAGCUAAAUCAAAGUUAAAAGACUCUUCAAUCGGAGACUAAAUCCAGUAACAACAGUGCAUCUCUUUCCCAAACUCCGCUACUUUACAUAGCUCAAAUACUAAUCAAUCCCCCAAAACACCAUCACACAGCAAAAUGACGCGGAAAUCCCACAAUCUACUCACCAUUACAAUCAAACACCAGCGCAUGAUCAACAAGAAACAUGAAAGCAUCACAAAAACCAAAAUAAAUCGAAUCAAACACUUAGGGGCAACGAUUCAUGGGUCGAUGAAGUUACCGUUAGGAGAUUAUUCAUCUUCGAGGUGGCGAGAUCUCAACCGGGGUAGAUCGGAAUGACGAGAUCCCAAACUCGGAUCUCCGGAUCGAAUUGAAUCCGAGGAAUCGACGAAGAGAUCGACGCGGCUUCUUGGACACGGAAGCGGCAAAGAGAAGGGGUUUCCAACUGGGGAAGGAGCGGAGAGAGAGAGAGAGAGAGGAGAGAGAAAAGUGGGCUUCUUUCGCCGCAGGAUGAGAGAGAGAGAGAGAGAGAGAGAGAGAGCGCUCCGAACGGGAGAGAGGAGUGAUUAAGUUGUUACCUCGCAUCGACGUAUAUUAACCGGAGCCCUAAAAUAAUUAUUUCGGAGGGUGGGAGUGGUGAUGUUAUUGCGUAGACCGUGGUCCACCGUGGACCGGUCUCUGAAACUCAAUGCUUUUUUUGAGAGAGAGGUAGCACGCUACCCGCUUCGUUUAUUUCAUUUAGAAAUAAACUUAGCUAGAAAUAUGAAUCAACUAGGAUUUUUAUGUACUUAUAUACUUUUUAAAGGUGAUUUUUCAUUCCUAUACUUUUUGAUAUAAUCGCUUUAAUUUCUAUACUUUGAAGUACAUAUAACACUAUAAUCUUUGAUCAUACGAAAGAAUUUAAGUUAGUUUGAUUAUAAAAAAAAAAAUUCUUGUUUGAAGCAAACUAAAACCAUAGUCACUUUACAACUGCAGUAAUAAAAUGGCCAUCUUACAAAAAAAACUAUUUUUUUAUGAUUAGAAAACAUGUUGUAAUAUAUGAAAUUUAGACUCUUUAAAAUGGUUAAGUGAGAAGUACAAGAGCCAAGCCACAAUAUUGGACUAUUAGACAAAUUACUUUAAUAGUUUAUCUAUUUACAAAAUUAUAAUAUUCUAUGUAUAAAUUUAUUUAGAUAUUAUAAAUUGCAUCAGACAGUUAAAAAAAAUAUGAGCAAGUACAUAAAUUAGUUUGUUUUGGAGCCUGUUAGUUUUGGAUUGCAGAAGAUGCACCUAGUAAUUAAAAUUCUAUGAUAAUGUUUUCCACAUUAAAAUCUAAUUUAUUAAAUAUAUUAUGUAACAUUCAAUAAUUUUAUAUAUACAAAUUAUAAAUUUUGAUGUAUGAGAAUAUUUACAUCUCAUAAAUUAAAUAAUUGUGCUUUCUCCAUCAUUCGUUAUUAAGUUACUUGAUGUCUUAAUAAUAGAUAAAUAAAUCUUGUAAAUUUUUGUGCAGAACCUUCGUGUGUAUAAAUGUUAUCUAUUAAUCAUCAAAAAUUAUAUAUGGUGCAUGAACGUACGGAUACACCUGGUGCAGGCAACAGAUACUAAUCUCUCCUGGGGAUGGGACCCACGACCACCGGGUCCAAGCUGGUACACGGCUCGGUGGGACGCACGAUGGGCGCCUCUCAACGCCUCGUGUGUGCAUAAACAAGUGAACAUUUCCAUUAAUCUAGAUAAUAAUAAAAAUAGGCUAGAAAUUGUACUCGUAGUCCUCAAACUAUAGAUUACAUCACAAUUUAUUUUUCAAAUUUAAUUUAUUAUAAUUUUAAAUAAUAUUAUAAUUAAAUUUAUAAUUUAAUAUAGUUGAUGAGUUACUGAUGUGUGGCUAUUGUGAUAGUUAUACGCCAUCUAAAUUAUUAUUAUGCCAUUAAUUAUACCCUUGAUGUAGUACCGCAAUGUAAGAAUAUAUCAGUAUUUAGUCGAUUAAAUUAAACUGUAGAACUUAAUUACAACUAUCUAAAAAGUUCUGAGCCAGAGAACCAAAAUAUCAUGUGCUCAUAGUUUGUGGAUCAUAAGUGUUAUUUAGCUAUAAAAAUAUAAAAAGAAAAUAUUAAUUAAAUUUGAUGUAACGAUCCGACCAGCCAAUAAUAAUAACUCGUCGGGUCUAAACAACCGGUCCUAAAUACUUACUAGUGUGUAGGGCUCAUAUAAACUGAUUGGAACCAGUAUCUCAUCUUAUGAUGUGCGACUAUUGGGGCGUUACAAGCUCCCCCUAUAGGCCUCAUAUAAAUUGAUCGGAAUCAGUAUCUCAUUCGAUAUGGGACUAUUGGUGCGUUACAAUUGACUACUAUAUAUAAAUAUAUAUAUAUAUAUGAUCACUUUAUAAAUAAUCUACUCUUUUACACCAAAUCUGUGAUGUAGACUUCGCUAAAUCUAAAAUUUAUUUGGUAUUUAAUUGAAAAAGUUAUGGACCAUGCGCCAUAAUUGUCUACAUAUAUACCUCUUCAAAAUUAUUUUUCCCAAGAAAAAGAAAAAAAAAUCUUUUAUGUACCUAGGACCUCCAUAAGAGUGGUUGUAUCAGUUUGGUGAGUUUUGGUCAAAUCUGUUUAUUCAAUUCUAGCUAUUAGUACAAUUCUUAUUCCUGAUUUCUGAUGCAUACAGAUUGGAAUAAUGUUUGAGUUACAUGUGCAUCAUAGUUUAGAAUAUUUAAUUACAAUCACAGAACAAAAUUUGCCAAUUAUCUAAUAAUGUAAUUCAGGUAAUUACGCUUUGACCGUGAUAUAAUUAUUUGAAAAUUUCUCGUCAAAUUCGGAAAGGAUUGUCCAGAAAAUGAUUAAUUUUUUUUGGCGCAACCUGGAACAACUGGGAACAUGUAUAAUCCUUUGAUCGUAAAAUUGAUCUCUAUUUAUAGAAGAAAAAGAAUGAAAAAAAAAGAAAAAAAAGAAAUGGUCACCGAUAUCUGAUCACAGGUACUACAAGUCACCGACGAGAAUUAAUGUAGCCAAUAACAUGAUAAAUUAACAAGAUGCAAGCAAUUACGCACAUAUGCAUAUCGCCUCGCUCUUAAUUCAAUUUAUAUUUUAAAAAUGAGAACUUUUGAUUUAAGAGAAUUUCUAGAUUAAUUUCAGUUCUAGGUAUCCUAUUCAAAAUGUGUACCAUUCCUUAUAAGAAGGCAUGAUCUUAUACAGACUCUUGUUUUGCAAAAGCUUGACUUUUUUUUUUUUUUUUAUCAAUAACGAAUUUAAUAAAGAUGCAUUGUGAAAUUGUGGAUCUGUUCAUAGAUGUCGAACAUAGAAAUACAGUUCACCAUUUUUUUAACAAACUUAACUUAUUUGCCCCUCCCACCAACAAAAAAAGAUUAACAAUAAUAAUGACAAUAAUCUAUUCUCAAAAAAAAAAUAAUAAUGACAAUAAUCAUACAACAACAACAUCGUACAUGUUUAAUUAACUACAAAUCACCCCUUGCAAUAAGGGUGUUGAUGCUAGAGUCCAGAGAUAAACCAUAUUAUGGGUAGAAAAUNCAGGUGUUUGUUUUAAUUUUAUUUAAUUUUUUGGAUUAUAUAUAUAUAUAUAUAUAUAUAUAUAUAUAUAUAUAUAUACAUCUAACUGUGAAAUGUCAUGAUACGUCGCGACAAUUAUCGAGUAAAUAUUCUUUGAGCACCUAAUGUUAAGCUAUAAACAUACAACAAUGCGAUUAACUUCACUGUCGAAUAUGAACAUAACCCACAAAUAUGAGUUGCCACCCCUAACUUCUUGUAACAUAUAUAUAUAUAUGAAGUGGCAAAUGACAAUGCGCAAGGAUAUAAACUUUUGAUUUAAAAUAUACACCCCAAAUCAUUACUAAGUAAGAAUAUUAAACUCCCAGUAACCAAAGAAUCUGCAGAAAAUCUCAGAAAAUGGAUUCUGUAAAACGCUGAAAAAUUAACAUAUAAAUUAAGGGUGAGUGAAAGAGGAAGUUCUCCAAUAUAUUUAUAUGCUGCCACUUUGCGCCAACCAUAAAAAGAAGAUUAUAUCUAAUUAAGAUCUUGUACAUAUAGUUGGAAUAUAUGCAGUAUAUUAUAUAUCAAGAAUAAAGAAUAAAAGAAAUGUCGAAAACCUGCAACAGUGCAACACUACAAUAUUAACUAGGCAAUAUUGCUUUCAUUCACGUAAAUUAGAAAUCCGAAAAUAUUACUAAUUUUUUCGCCAAUGUAAAGAUGUGCACAUACAAGAUAUAUUAGUAACUGUACUACUAAUAAUAAACAGCUAAAAUCCACAUAAUAAGCUAUAAGAAACUUCUGAAGAUUUUCUAUCCAAUAAAAAGAUAAAACCAAAGCCUACUUUUAGACCAUUAAAACAUCAUUUAAGGAAGAACAUAUUGGAAAAGAGGAACUACUGCUCUUUAGCCAUUGAAACUAUUAUCGUUAAACGGAUGAUGCGCAGAGAGCAGAAAUAGCUUACAUUAUUUUACCUGUGAGAGUUAUCACCUGCUUAUUUUUCUUUUUUCUUUUCCGCGAAAAUAUCACUUGCUUUAUCAUUGUAUAGGAAGCAAGGUGUGAGGAAUGAAGCCUGGUCCGAGAUCCAUUCCUAGAUUUCGUACAAAACCUAUAUAUAUAUUGAGAAUCCCUAUUUCAUAUAUAUAUAUAUAUAUAUAUAUAUAUAUAUAUAUAUAUAUAUAUUUCAUAUUAAAGACUAUCAUAACAGGAUCUUGGAUCAAACCUCAUUCCAAACACACACUCUCUCUCUCUCUCUCUCUCUCUCUCUCUCUUGUGCACCAGGUGUAAGUCAUUGAUCAUCUAGUGAAUNCAAUGAUUUUUCAAUCAACACCACCAAAGCCCUAGGGCCACAAGCCUCGAGAGUAAACAAAGGAUGUGUUGUUGGUAGUUAAGAAGAGUGAGAGCAUCAUGGAUAUUAUAAUAAGGCUAAAGUACACGUUGGACACAGGUCACUUGGGGGGCAUAAACAGUGGAAAAGAAAUGGGUCUUAUGAAAAAUAUUAUGUUCUCUUCUACAUGGACUUGAUUCUUUAUGGGAGUGAGAGUGCUAAGCUUUUACAGGCUAUGUAUGUCUCCUAGGAAAGAGCACCCAAAACUACUCAAAGAAGUACUAAUAACAUGGGAAAUGGUGAGGGCAUGGGAAGAAGCUGGGAAUGAAAGGAGAGGAGCCCUUCAUUGGCGGAUUUUUAAUAUAGAAAAAAGAUACUUGGUGAACAAGCUAUUUGUGGAAUAUGAGAAAAAGCAAAGGGAAUCUAAGCAUGAUCUCCGCAAGGUAAAGACAAGUAACAUGUUAUGCAUAAAAGACCAUGAAUAUAUAUAUAUACAUAUAUAGAGCACAGCAUGCAUGCAUGCAUCAUAUAUCAAACUCAUCCUCACUAUAGUAAGAAGUACAUUAAAAAAAAAAAAGGGACCGACUGUACCUAGAGUAAGUGGCAAAGAGCUUGGUGGUUGGUAUCCGAGACAGUUCGAAUCCUAGUUAAUUCACAUUUCUAGCUAAGUUUAUUUCUAAAUGAAAUAAACGAAGCGGGUAGCAUGCUACCUGUCUCUCAAAAAAAAAAAAAAAAAAGGGGAUGGUCAGGUGAUAGUGGUUGUGUCAUGUGUGGUGCUGACCUGGAGACUGUUGAUCAUUUGUUGGUGGGCUGUGUCGCCAGCAAAUUUCUUUUUAUUACGCUCCUCGACGAGCUUCAUAUCUUCGCUUCUUGCGAUGACAUUAUUGCCGUGUGGGAUAGGCUACUGGGAAGGGGAUUGCAACCCGACUCUUUAAAAGCUCAAAUUUUGGUGGCAGCCUUAUGGUGGACAAUCUGGCGCGAAAGAAAUAACGUCAUUUUCAGAAACCUAUCUACGGAUGUUAUCAAUACAACUCAGCGUAUUGGAAUCUUGGCUAAGGAGUGGAUUGAGUUUUGCUGAGCAGGACGACCUCGGCAAUGUUAUAUUCUUUUUCUUACCACUUGUCUCUUCUUAAUUAGUUUUUAUUUUUAGUUGUCUUUCUGCUCUUGUCUGUUCUUAUUCUUGACUUUUCGCUUUCCCCGAGGCCUUAGCUGCCUCACUCCAUGUAGCUAAAUUCAUUUUCCUAAUGAAUGAAGUAGGUAGCGUGCUAUCUUUCUCUCUCAAAAAAGAAAAAAAAAAAAGAAGAAUUUCUAAUGACACGAAAAGCUAAUGAAAUGAGAUUUUUAAAAAGGGGGUGAUAUUAUUGAUUUAUUGCCAAUUUGGUGUUAACUACAAUAAGCUAUCAAUGGUAAUUAACUACUGAAUACGAAAACUUUCUUUAGUGAUUAUAAUUUAGAAGCUUGCUUUUUAUUCGCUAUUAUGAAGUUCCAAGUUACGAUCGAUAUUUAGAUUAAUAUAUUCUACUUACAAGAAAAAUAUGUUUUAUUAUGAGAGUAAAUAUUCAAAAAGCGUAAACUUAAUUACUAUUCAGUGAGUACUCCAUUUGAUUAAACUCGUUGUGUUUAAUCAAUGAAUGGUGCAAAAUAUGCCUGUGAAAUAUCGUAACUCUUUUCAAAGCUAAAAAGGAAAUUUCAAUCCAAAACUUUUAUUUUUCUUCCAGUACAAAGUUCUCUCUAUAUAUAAUUAUUUCUUUUCCAAACCAAAUUAAUUAGUUCUAAAACUUCGGCAGUGCUACAUCUAAUUCAGGCGUAACUCAAGUGUAAGUGUGUAACCCAUGUAUAUAUUUAUGGAUUUUUGAGUACUAUAAGAUUAUGAAUCUAUAGUACAAAGUCAUUGCACCAAUUGUCUCUUCAUAGGUCCCCUCACUUUUUUUCUUUGUUUUUUUUUAAGAAAAGCCAAUAAACUCGGUGCGAUCACAUGUGAACUUAUUUAAACAUAGCCAAGCAUCUAAGUGUGUGUUUGGAUUGGAUACAAGAAAGGGAAUAAGAGGGUUAUUCCCUCUUUUAUACCCAAACACAAAUUUGGAGGUGGUGAAACAAUUGUUCCACCCCAACCCGGUACAAGCCCUCUUGUAUCGGGUUGGGUUGGAACAAGUUGUUCCACCCCAACCCCUCGGGUAGAGAGAGAGAGAGAGAGAGAGAGAGAUUUUUAAUUUAAAUUUAAAUUUUUGAAAUUUAUAAUUUAGUUUUUUAAAAUAUAAAUUUAUAAUUUUAAAUUAUAAUUUUAAUGUUUAAAUUAUAAAUUUGAUAUUUUUAAUUUUUAAAUUUUAAAUUUAAUUUUUUUAGAUUAAAAAUUUAAAAUUUGAUAUUUUAUAUCUUUCAAAUUUAAAUUUGAUUUUAAAUUUAAAAUUUGAUAUUUAAAAUUUAAAUUUUAAAAAUUAAAAAUUUUGAUUUUAAUUUUAAAUUUUAAAAUUUAAAAGUUAAAAUUUUUAAUUUAAAAUUAUAAGUUUAAAAUUUUAAAUUCAAUUAUAGAGGUAAAAUCAUUAUUUUUUAUCUAUAACUACCAACUAUUCCACCUUAUACUCACAUUUUCAUACAAACACAAUUUUUCUAGUUCCAGCUUAUACCCACAUUUUCAUCCAAAUAAAAAAAUACCCUUGUUCCUACAAAAAUUCAUUCUUGUAUCUAUCCCCGGUAUAACUAGUUCUUGCUUAUACCCGAACCAAACGAAGCCUAAAAGAUUACGAGCCUUGUUUCGGCCAAUCUAAACCAACACACAACCCAUGGGGACAAAAAUUUUAUAGCUAAAAUGUAAAGACACCCACUAAACUUUAGUCUUUUUUGAUAUUGACCCCCUCAACUUACAAACUAUUUGAAUUAGGCCCUUCCACUACAACAAAAUUAGGUUAUAGGGACACAUGCUUGGGACACUUUUAUGUAAGUGUUCCAUUUAUACCAAAACUUUAAAAAAAUAUCUAUUAAUGCUUAAAUAUAAAGCCCAAUAUAACCAAAAUAAAAGGUUACUCUACUCAACCCACCCCACUCAGCCCAUUCGGCCCGAUUACAAACAGAAAAGAAAAGAAAAAAAUCGAUUACCAUGUCCCCUUCUCCCCUAACUCAAUCCACUGAAAUUCUAGACGAAGAAUCAUUCCCUCUCAUCCUCCUCUGCCACCGGAGCCAACGAGGUAGAGUUUCAGAGGUUGCUUAAUGCUUAAAUAAGUAUUAGUAAAUUAGCAGCAUUCUUUUUAGGUUAUAACGAUAUUCUUUAACUGUCACUAUAUACCUAGCGACCCCACAUAUAGCAACACUCUUUAAAAGUGUCGGUAAUUUAGCCAGCAGCACUUUUUUUGACAUGUACCGACAUUUAAAAGUGUCGCUAUAGACCGUUUUUGUUGUAGUGUUCUAUUGGUAAUUUUGAUUUUUUUUUUUUUUUAAUCAACUACUCAUAAGAGAUGUACAUGAUCAAAAAUUGCUUUGAUAAAAAAAUAAAGAAAGCUUGACCUACCAAAAAAAGAAAAAUGCAGCAUUCUUAAACUACAAGAUGGUAAACUGUAAAUAUGUUUAGUAAUAUAGGUCUAAGCAUAUUGUUUUAUGUAUUAUUAAUAUCCUGACAUUCAAAAUGCAAAAGUUUUUCUAUCAGUUUGUACAUGCAAUUUAAUUAUAGUAUAUAUAGUUACUAACAUUUUAAUAAUUUGUAUAGAAAUUAUAUAUUAGAAGAUCUAAAGUGUAUUUAUUCUGCAGACCCCAUGAAUCAAAUAAUUGAGAAAAGCAACAUUUGGGCUUUUGGAAAGAGAUUCUACUAUAUAUCAGUCACACCGCAUCAUCUAUUAACAGUCAACAAUAUCUCUCCUUUUGAGUUAAAAAUAUAAUAAAAAUAUUUUUCUAAUAAUUAUGAUGGGACGGGUGAACCAAAAAAAAUAAUCUAGUUAUUGGUGACAUUACACCAGUAAUAUAACUGAUGCAUUUUAGAUUUUUUCGCUUUUGGAGCCCCACCUACCUUCUAUCCCUCUGUCUGUGUUGAGUACUCCUAAGGCCAGUGUACCUCAACAAUAUGGCCCGUGAGUGUCCCGUUUGGUAAUAUGAUCGAAAAAAAUAAGAAGUCCGGAUGAAAGGAUGUUGUUUAUGAAAAAAAAAAAAAAAACUAAAAUUUUAUUAAUUCACAAAUAAUAAAGUUUUGAUGGUUGGAAACUACAAGCCUUUUGGUUUAGAUUUUUCUCUGGGACUUGACUUUUUUGAAGCACGCUACGUUCAAUCGCUUGAAACAGAUCGAACUUGGAUUAUCCGAACUCGUUCAUCUCUUAGCUAACAAUUGAAGCGCCAUGAAAACUCGAAAUCUUAGUUUGAUCUUACAAAUGAUAGAAACCUCUAGAAAAGGAAUUCUCUGAACUGCUACCACCAAAGCUAAUUACUGGUAACUAAAAACUGCUAAAACUACUACUACUUGAAAUUGCCAAAACUACUCUGCAUUCAACCUGAGUACAAAAGCUACUACGUACUACUACUCCUUGCUUGAGAGAAUUGGUGUACAUGCUAUUGUUUGUGUUAAAAAAUGGACUCCUUGUAUUUUUCAGUGAGAUCACAGAAAUCGUAUCUAACAGCAUCAGCGCUAUUCAAGCAACAUGUAAUUUUUACAUAAACAAAUAGAAUAUUUUUUCUCACACUUUUCUACCACAACCUAAGGUAUACUUUAUUGACCGUCCGUAGCGCAAGUGGUAAAUGACUUGAUGGUUGAUAUUUGAGAUUUCAAAUUUGAAACCUAAGAGCUUUAUAUUUUCAAGUAGGGUCAUUACCUAAAAAAAUGAACGAAGUGGAUAGUAUAUUACUAUUUCCUUUUAAAAAAUAUAAGGUGUACUUUCCAUGCAUGUCCUAGACUUAAAUAAUUUGUUUGGUGUGGUUUGACUUGAUUUGUAAAUGAUGAACUAAGUAAACCAAAAAAUUAAGUUAGCUGGCUUGUACAAUAUUACUGCAAUACAUAACCAAGAUAUUAGCCAAAUUGAAUCAAAUUAUUUUUUAUUCGAAUCUGUAAUUCUUUCUUUUUUUAAAAAAAAAAACAACUAAAACUUAGUCCUAGUCUAAGUUAGAUACAGGUAUGGUGAGAUCAUAUUUAAGUUGGGGAAAGAAGUAAAUAAUUAAGCCCACAAAGAGUUUAACAACAAGUAUACAUCAAUCAUGAAGAAAGGAAUUUAAACAAAAACUCAAGAGUGCAAACCAUGCAAAGAACCUUUCCCUUUCCUUGCACUUCUUAGGAGGAGAUCCAAAGAGUAAAACCCCUCACUCUCAUAAUCCAACAAAAGAAUAUAAUUAUUCUCUCCUUAUUGAUAUCAAUUCAUGCAUGACUAUAUAUAUCUCCAAACAAUCCCUCUCAACACUCAUCCAUUUCCAUUAAUUAUCAUUCCCCGACUUAAUUAAACAACCCUCAAACAAGGCUUUAUUACAAGAAAUAUAUUGAAGAGAGAGACCAAUCAUGGAUCCCACAAGGCGCAUUUAUGUAAAUUUUGAGCCCUCUUCUGAAAUUGUUCAAGGAAAAGACGAAGACACAGUUCUUGUAACUGUGCCAGGUUAGAUACUUAACCAUUAAUUGUUGUUGUCUUUGUUGUCAUCAUCAUUAUCAAUAUCAAGGUUAAUUUUACAGGUCAAUCCCGAUCUUUACCUGAUUUUUCAAUUGAGUUUCCAACUUUUUAAUUCUUUUAAUGCGCUCUUCAAUAUUUGUUAUUUGUUUCAGCAUCAAAUAAUAUUUGCUAUCUAAUUAAGCGCCAUAUUUCAUCGUAUGACAAUUUUUGUUUGAUUUGACUAUUGAGAAUAAGAGUGUUAAUUGAAAUAAAUAAUAAAAAUUUGAAAUUUGAUUGUGGGAAUUAGAAAAAAAGAAAAUUGGAAACUCCGGUAAAAUAUUUGAAAAAAAAAAAAAUUUUAAAGCAGCCGCCUUCUGCUGCUCUCGCUUUUCUAACUAGUCAGGUUGCUGAUGGCAACUGAAAAUUGCUACGUACUUGUCCAAAAUUUAUACAAAAUUUUAAAAUUUUUAAUAUAAAAAAUAAAAAGUGAUGAAAUUAGCAUGAAAAAGUAAUCGAUUCAUAGAUAAUAAAAAUAUAAUAUUUAUAUUUUACUUUUGAAUGUACGAAUAGUAUUGUUCACCGCGAUUCAACAUGUGCACUUUACGGUGCACACUCGUGCGAUAAUUACAUAUCAAGACAUUUUGGUCUGUCGCUCGCAAAGAGUAUUCUGGCUCAACUCGAUCCCUAUGUACAAUUUUAUUACAAUGGCCUGGCUACGAUAGUGCUGACAAACUGCGCCUUAACUCGCAGAUUUUAGGAGGGAGCAGCUGAAAGUCCAACUCAAUAGCGAGGGCAACCUGCGGAUCGUCGGUGAGCGGCCACUGGACGGCAACCGGUGGAGCCGCUUCUCGAAGGACAUCCGCCUCUCGCCAAACUACGACCUCGACCGUGUCCGGGCCAAGUUCGAGAACGGAACAUUGUAUAUAUCACUCCCGAAAAGAAUCCCUCCUGCAGCCAAAACGGCCGACGCUCCGCCGCCGCCGCCGCCGCCGCUGCCGCUGCCACGACCGCCGCAGCUCGAACGUAAGAAAUCUGAGGCCACGGAGCCGAAGCCGACCCCCCCGACGCCGGAGCCCCCACGUGAGAAGCAAGCGAAGGGAGAAGAGACGCAGCGCAUGCCGACGCUUAAAGAGAGAAUGCAAGAAGAGAGAGGCCCCGCGCGGGGGAAAGAGAAGGAGGAGGAGGAGGCAUUGGCAGCGACAGCGGCAGCGGCGGCCGGAGCGGCGGCAGCAGUGGCAGCGGUGGCGGCAGCGAAGAAGGAGGGCACAGAAAAGGUCGGCGGAAAAGCGGUGGAAGGGGAGGAGGAGGCGGCGGCGUUGGCGGCGGCAGUGGCGGCAGCGGUGGCGGCGGCAGCAGCAGCGGAGAAGAAGGAAAGCGUAGGCGGAAAAGCGGCGGAGGAGAAAUCGGGUGGCGGCGGCGGAGAGGAGGAGGCAGCAGCGGCAGCGGCAGCGGCUGCAGCGGCUGCGGAGGCGGCAGCGGCAGCGGCAGCCGCUGCAGCGGCUGCGGAGGCGGCAGCGGCGAAGAAGAAAAGGGAGGAGGGGGGAUUAAUGAUGGGGCUGGGGAGGCCGAGGAGGAGGAUGCUGAUGUUGAACGUGGCCAUGGCCGUGGUUGUGUUGGUUGGGUUGGGGAUCUACGUGAUUUUCAAACUGAGAAAGCCCGGUUCUGAUGAACAGAGCGAAUAAACUAGUUACGAUUUGCGCCUACUGGAAUUACUAUAUUGCGUGCUUCGUCGAUUGUGUAUAUUUGCAGAUAGAUGAAAAAUAAAAUGCGGAGGUGAUGCUGGGGCUUUUAAUUAAUUUCAUUCCUUUCAUUUCUUGCUUUUCACAGCUUUAUUCCAUAUAAUUGAACUUAUUUUUUUUAUAAAAAAAAGAAAAAAUGUGAAGAACAUGAAGCAUAGAAUAUUGUGUUGGGACCAUAUAUAAGUGGAUUUACUGGAGACGUAAAGAAUAGAAUAUAUAUAUAUAUAGUUGAGCUAGAAUACUAUCGAUAGCAAACGGGCUCCGUUGCAAUCCAUUUAUUUUCGAUGAUGGAGUCUCCAAAUCGACGAUCGACACCGUUGAAUAUGAUUUAUACCACUUGAAGUGUUUAGAAAUCAAAUUUCAUAUAUUUUCGAUAUUGUUCUUUUAUCCAUCGAGUGGACACAAAAAUGAACGGCUAAAAAUAAAUAUUCUUAAAAAAAUGAUGAUAGGAGUCUUAUAAUCAAGAUCAAGAGUAUAGAUCUCGUUUUAAAUAGUUUAAAGAAUUUUUUAACAAAAAUUCAAUUGAUUUGGAUAUCUUUACGCCGUUAAACGAGAAAACGCCUCAUAUCGACCAUUAAAAUUACAAAUUUGAAACCCUUUGAUCAUUAGGUAAAUGAUGUCAAAAAGAUUUGAAAUUUGAUUUCUAAACACCUCAAGUGGUGUAGAUCAUGUUCAACAGUGCCGAUCGUCGAUUUGGAGGCUCUAUCAUCGAAAACAAAUGGAUGGCAACGAAGCCCGUUUGUUAUCGAUAGUAUUCUAGCUCAACUCUAUAUAUAUAUAAAAAGGAAAAUUAAAGUGGGGAAGCUAUAAGGUCAGACGCGUUAUGUAAUUAUUAGAGGGCAGUUCCAUUGAAAAAUAUUUUUAUUUUCGUUGAAAUAAUUAGGUAAUCACAGUUUUAGAAAGGCACCAAUUAAUAAACUUGGUGGAGGAACUCUUCAUUUAAGAUUUUUCCUGAAAUCGAGCACAAAUGUUUUCCUCGACUUUUUGCUUAUUUUUAAUUUGAUGAUUUUCACUAAUUGAAUUUACACUGCUGGAUAUUUAAGAAAAAAAAGGGAAAAAAAAAGGGCAUGGGGAGAUUAUAUAAUUUGCAUUUGGGUGUUCCAUAAAAGUUUUUUUUUUUAAAAACAACGUAAAAAAUCUCAUGUGGUGAGCAGUGGGCCGUGGUAGGCCCAAAGGUACAGGGCCCUGCCCAACUAAAAUAAGAUGGGCCGUCCCACUCCCAACUCCCCCCAAUCUACAACCGAGGAAUUAUUGCGUUUGCAAGUUGAUGUCAAGCCACCAUCUUCUAGAAAAAUUCUAGAUGUGCCAGCUAUGUAUCUAAACGUCACGGACAUUGACACGGGACACGAGAUAAAAUACGACUCGGACACUGCAACUCGACAACUUUUAAAAAAUUAGGACACGGACAUGACAUGAACACUGCUAAUAAAAUAUAAUAUUAUUAAUAUAAUAAUAUAUUUUUAUUAUAUAUAACAUAUUAAUUUUGUUAAAAUAUUAUUAUAUUUUUCGUACGAAUGAAAGUUAAUAAAAUUUUUAUUGGUACUUCAUAUAUUUUAAGAAAAGAAAUUCUCCACUGUGCAUAAUUUAUUUAUAUUGUCAAAAAAAAUGGUAUGUAUUUAUAAAAAAGUUAAAAUAUUUAUCAUUUUAUAUUAUAUAUGUAUAGAAAAAGUAAAAUAAAAAUAGAUACAUAUAUUUUUUAGUUAUAUGCACUAUGGAUGGGCAUUAAAUGGGCGUCCAAAGAGUGUCCACAUCGGACACAUGUCCGACACGGACACGUGCGUGUCCGUGUUGGACACGCGAGGCUUACAGAAGUGUCCGUAAUACAUAGUUACAUAUCCUAUACGGCGUGACUGAACCAAUUACAAUUAUCUUCUAGGAUUAAUUCAUUCCAUUAUGAUUUAUAAAAAUAAUAUUUUUAUUAUAUUUUUCUUUUGAAAGAAGGUAUUUGAUUGGCUCUAUAUUGCUGACGUGAUAUGACUGCCACGCAGAAGACUUUCUCCCUCUUCUACAACUGUACUUUCGCUAUCUUUGGAUUCCAUUUAUCCUAUCUGUUCUUGACUCCAAUCAACUAUAGGGUAGCGUUUGGUUCGGGAACAAGUCUAACAGAGCGUUUGUCGAAAAAUUAUGAAAUUUAAUUUUUAAAUACUUUCAAUAAUAUAGAUCAAGUCUAAGGGAGUCGAUCGUCGAUUUGGAAGCCGCAGCAUUGAAAACAACUUGGUAGCACGGAGGCCUCCAUGCUACCAGAUUGUUUUCAAAUUAUUUAAAGUAUUUGAAAACUAAAUUUCAUAAUUUUUUGGCAUUAUUUACUUAUAAAACGAGUAGUCUAUAAAAUAAAGUAUUGAAAAUAAAAAUUUCGUAAAAAUGAUGAUAAAAUACUUGAAUUUAAGAUUAGAGAUACUAAUCUUUCUCUAAAUAGUGAAAAAAAAAUUAUAAAAAUUUCAUCAGAUUUAGAUUGUUUUACACCGUUAAAUUCGCAAACAUAUGACAUCGACCAUUAAAAUUAUCAAUUUGAUACCUUUUGAUCACUAGCCAAAUAAUGUCGAAAAAUUACGAGAUUUAGUUUCCAAAUACUUUCAAUAGUGUAGAUCAAGCCUAAUGAAGCCGAUCGUCGGUUUGAAAGCAGCAUCACUGAAAAAAACUUGGUAGCACGGAAGCCUCCGCAUUACCUGUAAUAUAGCAGUCUAGUUCUAUAUAUAUAUAUAUAUAUAUAUAUAUAUAUAUAUAUAUAUAUAUAUAUAUAUAUAUAUAUAUAUAUAUAUAUAUAUAUAUAUAUAGCAGAGCUGCUAUGCUCUCAGGAGCACGGAGGCCUCCGUGCUUCUGAGCCGUUUUCGAUGAUGGAGUUUCCGAAUCGACGAUCGGCUCCGUUAAACUUGAUCUAUCGUAUUUGAAGUUUCUAGAAAAUAAUUUUUGCGAUUUUUCAAUAUCAUUUACCUAGCAAUCGAAAGGAUUCAAAAUCAAUAAUUUUUAACCGGACUCUAUGAGUAUAGACUGGGUCUACUAUACUUUUCAAUAUCAUUUACCUAGCAAUCGAAAGGAUUCAUUUUCAUUCGUUAAAUCAUACUAUUCAACCAACUACCUAUUCAAUUUUAGGGGACCACUAUCAUUCUAACCGCACAUCCCAACAAUUAAUGAUUAAAAAUUUAUGAGUAUAAAGGAGUCUAUACUCAUAAGAGUAUAGUAGACCCAGCCUAUAUAUAUAUAUAUAUACACACAUAUAUACAUGCGCAUGCAUAUGCUUUUGUAGCUUUGAUUGUAGCAACCAUUUUGUUAAAAAAAAAAAAAAUAGAACUAGACCUACAAGGCUACCCCCAACAAGAAACUUAGCAUACAGCAACAAGAAGCAAUUGGCAAAGGAUCCUUACCAUCAACGCAAAAUAUCAAAGAAGUAACCUAACAAACUAAUAAGGUAUCUCUCCUACUUGGGGAAAACCAAUACGGAGUACUUGCACCAUUAAUAAGAAUAAGAUAGAAGAUACAAAGCUCCAAGCAUAGAAGAAUAUAUAUAAUUAUUAUUCACUCAAUUUUUUAUGAGUGCUUAUCUCAAUUCAUGACCAUAUAAAUCUCCAAACACUAAUCCCUCUCAAUACCCAUCCAAUCCCAUUAACAUUCUCCAACUUAAUCAAAACACUCCUCAAAUUAAGCUUUACUACACAAAUUAUAUUGUAGAGAGAGGCCACUCAUGGAUGUCACAAAGCGUUUGUAUGUAGAUUUUGAACCAACUUCUGAAAUUGUUCAAGGAAAAGAAGAAGACACUGUCCUUAUACAUUUGCCAGGUUAGAUAAUUAAACCAUCAUUAUUAUUAUAUAUUGUCUUUAUUAUCAUCAUGAUUAUUAAUAUCAAGGUUAAUCGCACAAUUCAAUCCCAAUCUUUUACCGGAUUUUUCUUUUUUGAGAGAGAUAGGUAGCACGCUACCCGCUUCGUUUAUUUCAUUUAGAAAUAAACUUAGCUGGAAAUAUGAAUCAACUAGGAUUCGAACUUGGGUCUCGGGUACCAACCACCAAUCCCUUUGCCACUUGCUCUAGGGACAGUCGGUUUUUACCGGAUUUUUCAAUUGAGUUUACAAAGACUUUUAUCAAAGGAGAAAAUAAAAGUUUCCUGUAGGGAUCGAGCACCACCAAAAUAAAUUAUUUUACCAACAAUCGCUUUUACUCUAUCGCAUCUGUUUUCACUAAAAUUUAUUAUCGAACAAAUUACAAAACUUGCUACAGCAUAGGCUCCUACGAAACUGAACAAGCAAAACAGCAAACAAAGAAUAAUUAAAAAAUUAAAAUCAAAAAAAUAUUAAAAUAAAAUAAUAAUAAAGCACUUUUUUCCUGGCCUUCUGCUUUUCUAGCUUGUUGGACGCUUAUCUUCUAUUUAACUACAUUAAAGGAGAAUUUGGGGGACCUUAGAGUGACACGUGUCCCCCCAACCCUCCAAUUCUCUCUCUUUCUACACACACAGACACACACACACACACACACACAUAUAUAUAUAUAUAUAUAUAUAUAUAUAUAUAUAUAUAUAUAAAAUACAAAAUUUAAAAUUUUGAUAUUUUUAAAUUUUAAAGUUUUAAAUUUUAAAUUUAAUAUUUUAUAUUUUAAAUUAUAAUAUUUAUUUCCAAAUUUUAAACUUUUCAAAAUUUAAAAUUUUAAAUCUCUACAUUCUAAAUACAUAAGCAUAAUCAAUCAUAACCUAAUAAAUGUAUUUAAAAAUUAACAUGAAAAUAUCAGGCAUGUAUAAAAAAUAUAGAAUUCUAAUUUUAAGGACUAAAAUUUUAGACAAUAUAUAGUGCAUAUGAUAUAUAUAUAUAAUUAAUUUAUUAAAUAAUUUUUUUAACAAUUUUUUUAAUAUUUUUUGUUUCUUAAAUUCAUUAAUUGAUAGAUUAUCAUCAAUUUUUUUUAAUAUAAAUUCUCAUAAAAUAAAUUAUUGUAAAUAAUUUACUUGCCAUACAAUUAUUUCUAUAUAUCAAUUUAUUUAUCUUAAUUAUAAUUAGACAUUUAUAAAACUUAUAAUAAAAUAUUCAAAAAUAUAUAUUUAUUAUACAAAAUAUUUUAAUCCGCAGCAUCGCGGGGAGUAAUUCAACUAGAUGAGUGCUGCAAAUGCUAACGUGUACACUAAUAUUUAUAAGAAUUUAGACAAUUUUUUUUUAGAUUUAGACUUUUUGAGUUAUUAAAAUAAUUAAAACGACAAAAUUAGUGAUAAAAAAUAGUCCCUUAAAAAUAAUAAAUACAACAUUUAUUAUUUAAUUUCACGAGUACAAAUAGUUAUAUUCGAUUUCGUGACUACAACUUGCACACUUUUAUUGCAUGAUGCACGAAUAAUAUUUUUAGACUCACUCGUAAUAUAUUACGAUGCCGACUAAUUCCAACUUUCGGGUUUAGCAAUGAGCAGCCUGAGAGUCGAAGCACGACUGCCACGCAGGCAACCUGCGAGCAACGCGGCCGAGCGGACCACUGAGAACGGCAGGCGGAUGGAGCCGCUUCACGGCGGACUUCCGCCUCCCGCCGGACUGCGACGUGAACAAUAUCCGGGCCGAGUUCGAGAACGACACCUUGUACGUCAUACUCCCGAAAAGAAUCCCUCCUGCAGCCCAAAAGCCCAGCGCUCCGCUACUGCCGCUGCCGCCACGGCCGCCGCCGCCCCUGCAGCAGCAGCAGCCGCCGCCACUCGAACGUAAGAAACCUGCAGCACCCCCGCCGCCACCGCAGCAGCCGCAGCCGCAGAUCGAACGUAAGAAAUCUGCAGCACCGCCGCCGCCGCCGCCGCCUCCGCAGCAGCAGCCGCAGCUCGAACGUAAGAAAUCUGCAGCACCCCCGCCGACGCCGGAGCCCCCGCGCGAGAAGCAAGAGAAGGAAGAAGAGAAGGGAGGGGAGGGGGGAGUAACGAAGGGGUUGGAGAGGCCGAGGAGGAGGACGCUGUUGUUGAACGUGGCCGUGGCCGUGGCCGUGUUGGUUGGGAUGGGGAUCUACGUGAUUUUUAAAGCACUGAGAAAGCCCGGUUCUGAUUAAUGAACGGAGCAAAUAAUUAAGAACUAACAAAGGGUUUGAUGUAUAUAUAAUCAGAAUUAUUAUUAUUGUGUGGUUUAUCGAUCGAUUGUAUAUUUGCGGAUACGUGCGAAAUAAAAUGUGGAGGUGAUGCUCUGCUCUGGUUUUUAAUUUUAAUCCUCUCGUUUCUUGCUUUUCAUACGCUUUAUUUCGUACAAUUUUGCGUUAUUAAUUCUUGUUAAGAGAGAAAAGACGUAGAAUAUUUGUGUGCUAAGAAAAAAUCGAAUAUUCGAAAGUGCGCACUUGGAGACAUAAGAUCGCAGAGGAAAAAAAAUAAAAGAAAAGUAGUAAAUGUAGAUUGAUGCCCUCAACAAUUAAUAGGGUGCAACUUUGUUGGAAAAGUUUUCAUAAAAACAUAAACUAUAAAAUUCAUUCUGCGUUUGAAUUUUAAAGAUCUGUUCUAAUUUAAACCCUCUUUUUUUUUUUUUUGAGAGAGAGAGAAAUAAACUUAGCUGGCAAUGUAAAUCAACUAAGAUUCGAACUUGGAUCUCGAAUACAAAUAAUCAAGCUUUUUUGCCACUUGCGCUAGGAACGGUUGGUAUCUCAACCCAAAAUUAAAAUACUGGAUCUAGAGUUGGUAUCUCAACGCAAAAUUAAAUACUGGACCUAGAGAGGGCGUAAUAAACUUGACUGAGGAGCCCCUCGUUGGUUUUUUUGUUUUUCGAAACCAGAUGUUUUCGCCUGUUUUCACUAAACGAUUUUUGCUAGUUGAAUUUACAAAGCUGAAUACUAAAUAAAAGUAGGCGAAAACCCAGCUGGUCUAAGAUUAGAAGUUCCGUUUCUUAUAUACUUGUAUUUUCUUGUUGGUCAGCUUUUUGAAUUUUUUUUUCAAAAAAAUUCAUAAUUAAAAAUACCCAAUAAACCACACACAAAAAAAAAAGAAACGGUGGGUGAGAUUACAUAAUUUGCAUUCCUGUGUUCCAUUAAAAGUGCCUAAAAGAAAAAAGAAAAAAAAAAGAGGGCGACCCAAUUGCAAACACUUCAAUAUAUCUAAAACGGAGAAACUACUACGUGAACCUGGCUCACCACGUCAUCAUGGACAGGUCCAUUAAUGUUAUCCCUCUAAGAAUUUUUAGGUCUUACCAUAAAAUCCACUCGGAUAAGAGAUUAUGUUAUGUGCGGUGAGAAAGUAUGAUGAAAAAAUAUUAUGUUUAUUUCCGUACGUAAUAUUGCGUUCCGCAUAUCACGAUUUGUUGGUUACAAUAUAUUUUCUAGUCCUCCCUGAAAACGUAGAAAUAUAUUGCUAUAUAUUUUUACCUCAACUCCAUUUUAUCUAAUAGCAUUAGAUAAAUCUCAAUACCAAACUAACCGACUGACCGUUCCUAGAGCAAGUGGCAAAGAGCUUAGUAGUUGGUACCCGAAGUCCCAAGUUCGAAUUCUAAUUGAUUCACAUUUCUAGUUAACUUUAUUUCUAAAUUCUAAAUAAAAUAAACGAAACGAAUAGCAUGUUACCUAUCUCAUAAAAAAAAAAAGAAGCCAAUCUAAAUGUAAAUCUCCUUCCCAAUAUUUCAUAAGAAUAUCCCAUAUAAUGUUACGUAACCAAUUUAAUGGAAGAGAGAGUCAGAGAGAUAUACCCGCAAAUUGUUAAAGUUUUAAAAUUAUUUAUAUUUUUACAUGAAUAUUUCUGUAGACACGUGCCUUUUUAGGUUAAACUGUAGUACUUGCUAUUUAAAAAUAAUAAAGAAGUUGUUUCCCAAGUUUCAAACUGUGAGGUUACUCAACAACAAGAAGAAGCAAUUGGUAAAGGAUGCUUGCCAUCAAGGCAAAAUAUCAAGAAGCAACCUGGCAAGCUGAUAAGGUAUCUCUCCUGUCUGGGGAAAACCAAUAUGGAGUUUGCACCUUUAAUAAGGAAAAAAAAGAAAAGAAAAGAGAAACUAUGGGAGAUGAAGAAAAGUUUGCAUGAUCAUGGAAGAAACACGCCGUCGCUCGUACACAAUUAUCGAGCCUCGAUGCACUUGGUCGCGGGCCGAGGAUUGCGACACUCUUACAGUUGAUGUAUCAGGCAAGCACUAAUAUAUUUCUUUGCGAAAAAUGAAUGUGUUUAAGCAUCAUUUAACAUAGACAUAAAACAACAGGAUUAGCAUAUAACAUCUCUUUCUUUUCGUCGUUGAUGAAUGCUUUUUUUCAUUAUAGUAGUGUAGAAUGCUUUUAGGGGUAGCUACAAAUGCGCCUUCCAAAAUAUAGAGAAAAAAAACUAUUUUCCUGUCGUAAGAAAAGAUAAUUUUGAGAGAGAAAUUAACAAGCUGAGUCCAUUUUCAUUUGCCUCUGUUCACAUCCAAAUGCAGGAUUCAAGGAGGAACAGCUGAGAGUUUUAGCCAACACCCGUCGGAAGCUGAAGAUCAGUGGCGAGCGCCAUCUCGACGGAAAUCGGUGGGCUCGAUUCGUUAAAGAGUUCCGAAUCCCGAAAAGCUGCCAUAUAAAAAGCAUCAAGGCCACGUUCAACAAAGAAGAUCAAGUGCUUAAUGUCAUACUACCAAAAUCGACCCACCAAGUUAAAUCACAGGAACAACCAACACAAGUGAGUGAACCUCCAGUGGAUCACAAAACAAGCGAAAAGACGGAUUCGAGCGAUAGCCAAGCAAGAAAGGCUACGGAUGAAAAGAAUUUAGAAGGUAGCAGCAAAGGUGCAGUACAAAGAGCGGAAGAGAGUAUUAAGGGAGAACAAGAAACAGUGCCUACGAAGAAUGAGAGAGACUCGGGGAAAAGAGACGAGGAAUUCACCAAAGAGAAUGAUAAGCCUGCAGUGAAUGAAAGGGAUUCGAGCAAAAGAGCUGAGGAAAUCACCAAAGAGAAUGAGAAGCCUACAGAGAAUGAGAGGGAUUCGAGGAAAAGAGAUGAGGAACUCACCAAAGAGAUUGAAACUUCUCAGGAGGCGAAUGCGUCGAAGAAGCGGAGGAAAUGGUAUGCUGGACUCGUUAGAUGGUUUAACAAGAUCAAAGCAUUUAUGUUGUAUGUUGUUGUUCCGAUAUUGAUCAUUGUGGGUGUUGUGACUUAUUUGAUGUAACAAAAUUGUAGACAAACACGUAAUUCACGAUGCAAACCAUUAGGAACAGAGGAACCUGCCAAAUAUUCUAUUAAUUUAUGGACCAAAUUGAAAUAUCACAGAAUACACGAGAGAUAACAACUCCCAAUAACCUCAAGAAGGGGCGGAUUAUCGCGACGAUUUAUAAACAAAAGAAACCUAACGUUCUAACUAACAACAAUCAGCAGGAUACAAGAGACCCAUUUUAUUGGGAAACAAAUGGAGAAAUUUCUCCGUCCUUUUGAAAAGGAAAUCACGAAAUCUUAAGUAUUAAAGAGAUAGGAAACAGCUUAUUUCGCGCUGGCCAGUUGGGUGCGGAGCAGCUUGGCCGCAGCGACCAUGUUGGUGAGAGCAGGCUUAACCUCAGAAUACUUCCGGGUCUUCAACCCGCAGUCGGGGUUAACCCACAGGAUGUUCGUCUCGAGAACUGCCAGCAUCUUGUUGAUGCGGUCGGCGAUCUCUUCGGUCGUUGGAAUUCUGGGUGAGUGGAUGUCGUACACGCCUGGGCCGAUGCCGGCGCCAUACUUGACCCCCUCGCGGAAGACCGAAAGGAGCUUCUCGUCGGACCGGGAGUUCUCGAUGGUGAUGACGUCGGCGUCCAUGUCAAUGAUGGAGUGAAUGAUGUCGUUGAAGUUGGAGUAGCACAUGUGGGUGUGGAUCUGAGUGGUGUCGUUAACACCACAGUUGGUGAUACGGAAGGAGUGAACGGCCCAGUCCAGGUAAAAAGCUUGCUCUGACUUGCGAAGAGGCAAGCCUUCUCUAAGAGCUGCUUCGUCGAUUUGGAUAACCUGUCAAUAAAAUCAUAAAGCAACAAGAUAAGAUUCAGACAUAAAAUAAAAAUUGAACAAAAAAAACCUAGUAAUUAAAUGCCAAUUAUGGAGUUUCAAUUACACAACUUUCUUGCUAAGAACUCCUUUUGAGGAACCCCGAUCACACAGUUCCAAGAAAUUGAAAUUAUAGUUUUUCAAAUUACAUAAAAAUUAUGAGGUUAAAAUUAAUUUGGAAGGAUUUGGUGCGAUCAUAAUGUAGCCAGCCAAAUCACAUUAUUGAAGUCAGAUUUGGGGGCAACCUAUUUAUUAUUAUAGUAUAUCAGUGACCCAAAAAAUUUACCGCUUCCUAGGAUAGUCACGUUAACUUACUAUGGAAAUAGGUUACAAAAGGAAAAUUAAUUAUAUCCAAAUAAUUUCUCAUUCUUUUGAAACAAAGACGCCGAAUGGAAAUCCAAUUCAACUCCAAACUAUCACAAGCAGAAAAAGAAAUGCUCCUAUUUCAGGUCAACUGAAUUCUUCUGAACUGAAAUAAAAAUUUCAAUUCAGAUUUGGUUUCAAACAGUGUAAAAAAGAAAAUACUAACCUGAAUACCAGCAGCUUCUAGAUCCUCAACCUCUUUCUUAAUUGCCAGAGCUAUCUGAUAGCACGUCUCAAACCUAAUAAACAAGCAAAUAUCGCUCUUAUGAGUCUUAUUUACUUUCUAUGAGAGUAAAAAUAAAUACAGUGUUGAGGAAUUAAGUAGUUGCUGUUACCUUGGUUGGUCGUUCCUGACGAAGGACCAGUUGAGGAUAGUUACAGGACCAGUCAACAUUCCCUUCAUUGGGCGAGCAGUCAUGCUUUGUGCUGCUGAGGACCAGAAAACAGUCAUAGCCUUGGGGCGGCUCACAUCGCCGUAGAUAAUGGGUGGCUUAACGCAUCGAGAUCCAUAAGAUUGCACCCAACCAUUAACGGUGAAUGCAAAGCCCGAUAGUUGCUCCCCAAAGUACUCAACCAUGUCAUUCCUCUGUGUUUGAAGUAUAUUUAAUUAAUUUCUAUGUGUGAUAAACAAAUCACAAUUACUGAAACCACCUUUAGCGUUUUAACAGUUUCCAAAAAGCAAAGUUAUUUUUUCCCAUAGAGUAAUAAUAGAUUCCAAAUUCAAAUUUAAUUAAAAUGAUGAUACCAUGCAAAUAACAAAGCUCACCUCUGGCUCUCCAUGAACAAGGACAUCAAUAUCAAGUUCUUCCUGGAGCUUGACAACCUUGUUGAUUUCCUCCUUGAUGGCCUUCACAUACUCCUCUUCAGAUAUUCUGGUGCAGAAACAACUCUUAAGAAACAUUCGGGAACAAUAAAGGAUUUAAUAAAUCAUAUAAAAUCACAGAUAAUCAUGACCCACUUGUUCGCCUUGUACUCUCGUCGCACUCUCCUGAGCUCCACCGUCUGGGGGAAUGAACCAAUAGUAGUGGUAGGAAGAAUUGGAAGAUUAAGCUUUUUCUGCUGCACAUCUAAUCUGGCACUGACAUUUGUGGCUCGGCGAUGGUCAGAGCCCUUCAAUGCAGCAGCCUAAGAGAAAAGAAGAAAAAUAAAAAACCAACCCCACGUCUGAAUAGAUAUUUUGCAACCCCUUUAUCCUAAACUAGAAUGAAAUCCAUAGCUAUAGCUACUCACGGCUUUUUGAACUUCUUCAUUGGUCACUCUAGGAGAUGACUUCCUCGAAGCCUGAGCUGCAGCAUUUGCUGAGAAGUAAGACUGCAGAAAACCAUUGAUUGUGAGGCCAUAGCAUCUAUUGCAAACCCAACAUGCAAAAGGAGCUUAGCUAAAUACUUUAACUAAAUUAACCGUCUCAUGAUUUCCAUAACCUAACUAUGAGUAAUGGAUUGAAAGACCUAGUCCAGGUUUUAUCUACCAAAGAUGAGAUCACUAGCAGCCAAAACCAUCUAACAGUAUAUACCUCAUCCUUCUGACCAGCCAAUGCCUUGGCAAGUGCAUUAACUUCGACCAGCUUUUGAGCAGCAAAUGCCAGCCACGAUUUGAUUUCGUUGUCCAACUUAGUCUCGUUAAUAAGGUCCACGGCAGUGUGCAUAAGUGAGCAGGAUGUUGAAACCACAAGCUUGUCUGAAAAGCAAAAUUUCAUCAGCACGCACUCAAGAUGUAUCUAACCGAAAAUAGGAGAGUAACUAAGAAUAAAUCACCUUUGCCAACUAUAGAUUCAAGAGCCCCAAGAGCACUGAGAGAGGCAGCAAGAUCAUUGGCCCAAAUGUUUCUCCCAUCUACCACACCGGCAAAAAGAUACUUUCCAGCAGGAAAUCCCACGCUCUUGAUGACAUCGAGUGUCUUGGUUCCACGAACAAGAUCGAAACCAAAACCAGAAAUGCCAUUCAGUGCAGUGAUAGUCCUGAGAUUGGCAAAACCUAUGAGUGAACUUCACAAAAGGUAUGUUAUACGAACUUGUAAAUAAGAAAUGAGUUCAUAUAUGCACCUCCCAUAACUGCAGUUUCUUAAAUAAAACGAAAAAAUCAGAAAAGAAAGGAAAAGAAAAAAAAACAAAAUAACUUUUGACUAAGUUGGGAGGUCAGCCAUCCAAUUCAUGGGAGAAAUUUCCUUUUGCGUAGGAAAACUAAAUUCUCUUCUUAAGAGAAGCAUUUUGUAAGUAGUAGGGUAUUUAUGUAAGAAAUUUAGUUUUGGAAGGGCAUAUAUGAAAAUGAAAAAUUUCAGGGAUAUAAGCAUAAAUAGAAAUUUUGGAGCAUAUUAUACAUAGGUAAUAAUAGAGUAACUAGCCAGGAACAAACUUACUUAUAAGCCUCCAAUGGGACAUCAGCAAAGUAGGUCUCGAUGAGGACAUUCGAACCAGAAAACGAUGAUUCGAGUUCUGCGUAUGCCUUCGAGAAUGCAGACAACUGGUGAGAAUCGAGAUCCAUCACAAGGGUGGGUUCGUCAAACUGGAUCCACGAAGCACCUGCUGCCUUUAGCUCAGCAAUAACCUCCCUGAAUGUGAUUGUGCCAUGAUUUGUCAAAAAUGUAUAGGGAAUGCAGGUUAAGUUAAUGAUUACUAGGUGAUUUUGAUUCUUACUUGUAGAUGGGAAGAAUGCUGUCGAGGAGUGAAAGGAGAGGGAAUGAUUUUUCCACACCUUUAGCAGGCUUUGAGAGCAACAAGUAUGUCACAGGUCCAAUAAGAACUGGAACUGUAUCAACUCCAAGCUGCAGGAGAGGGAGAAAAGAUUAACAAUGAGAGGAAAAGACAUCACACAGCAACUCAUUAAAAUUACCAUGACAGGACAAAUAUUAAUAAACCAAAAUAUUCAUUAAGCGUUAAUAUUACAUGUACUUCUAUUUUAUUCCCAAGCAUCCUAGAAAAAAUUCCCACACUUGUAGAUAUGUAUAGUUCAUGCAAGAUUAUUAAUAAACUAGUUGUAAUUUCACUAGAGAAUGACAAUAUCAUUUAGAAUUCUAAAUUCUUAUCAAAGAGAAAUAAAGCAUGGUAAGAGUUGUAUUUUGCAAUUUAAUUGCACUUCAAAUUGAUUAAUUAAAUAUGUCAGGUUAUAAACAAAAAACUUACUCCAAGAAAAUCCUCUAUUUAGUAUUUACAAAAUUACAUAUAAUUCUUUGUCACCAAAUCAUUCAAUUAGAAACCAUCAAAAUUUAAAAUUUAAAAGCAAUGAUUAUAGUGCCCAACGAACAUGGGAGAUGUUCCUUCCCACAUAUAAUAUCUUCAAAUAUCAAGCCACAACACAUCAUGCUACUGUUUGGAUGUUGGAAUAAGUUAUCCUUGAAUAACUUAUUUAGCAUAAAAUUUUUCUUUUGUGAUCGGAGGCAAAAGGUUUAAUUUUUGCUCCUGAAAAGGUCUUAUCAUCCUUGAUUUGGUAGGAUAACAUAUUUCACCUUAAGGUGAUUUAUCUUAUUUUGAAAAAUUGACUAGAAAGUAAAAUAUGUAAUCCCAUUAUAGACGUUUCUCAUCUACCAAAUAGUACAACUUCCUGAGUAAAUCAAAGAUAUAUAUGGAAUAAGAUAUUCAUGCAUCCAACAAGGGCCAAAUUUGCAUAUUGGUUUGUGCUUUUACCUCACAGAUUAUAAAAAAAAUGGAAAAACUUUCUCAUGAAAACCAGUUAGAAUCAUUGUUUAAUUCAGGAAGGGAAUAGAAGGAAUCAAGGACCCAAUGAAACUAAACCCUAUACACAAGCACAUGAAUUCAUCAAGAGCAUUCAAGUGCAAACUGAAUUUCAGGUUCGUACCGCCUUGGCUUCCUUGUACUCAGAGACAGCCUUGUGAGAAGAAUAAGAGAACUUGGUGUUUGGGCCCAAUUCAGGAACAAUGAAAUGGCUGAAUGCAACAAAUGCAUUGUCAAUAAGAAAUCGAUUAUACAAAAUGAAAUGUAUAUAAAUUAGUUGAACAAAGCCUCGAGAUAGGGCGAGUGACUUACUAGUUAGUGUCAAACCACUUGGUCAUCUCCAUAGCAGGUACAGAGGCAUUUCCUCUGGCCAUAGAGAAAUAGGUGUCAAAACCAAUCUCCCCGCCAUUCCAUGAAUAUCGUUCAGGGACGGCACCAAGCAUGGCGGUUGUAUCAAGUACCUGAUCAUAGUAGGAAAAGGUGUUGCUAGGAAUGUAUUUGAUCCCAGCGUCAGCCAUUUGCUUCCAAAUGGAACCUCUGAGAUCUGUGGCGACCUUCUGCAAAUCAUCAGCACUGCUCUUCCCAUCCCAGAAAGAUUCCAAUGCAAACUUAAGCUCUCUCUUCGGCCCCAUGCGGGGGUAUCCAACAAUGUGCGACGCCAUCUUACUAUACAGGUUAAGAGAGAAACGUAUAUCAAACUUGCAUUAUUAAAAGCAACUCUGUCACUACGAUAUAUGAUAAUGAAGCAUAUUCUCUUUUACAAGAUAGAACUGGUAUGAAAGAAAACGCUUUUAUUGCUUGCAAAGAAGAACAAAAAAAAUCAACAUCCAUAUAAAACAACCUAUUGGAGGAAUCUUCAUGUUCGUGUGCCAGCAAUAACAAUGAAUCAGAAGUUGGUGCACUACGAAACUAAACAAACUUUCAACCCAAAAAGAUCUAAGCAUUUAUAUAAUCAAUUAAUUAGCUGCAAAGAUCCCAUGGAAUCUGGCAUCUUACGUAGUAUUUUUAUCUUCCAAAGAGCAACAGCCAUGUUGGGGUAAAAAUGGUAAAAAAAAAUCAACAAAAAAAAAGGAAUGAGACGAACACAAAUAUUCAACCUCUUCUUAAUAAAGCAUUCAUAUGGCAGAACAAUAAAUCAAUAAAAGAAAUAAAAAAUAAAAAAUCUAAAAUAUCGGAGCUACAUAUCGUAAUAAAAAUAAGGCACAGCUACAGCUGCAACUAUAUGAAUAUGCUCAAAUAAGGAUCGUGUAUAUAUAUAUAUAUAUAUAGCACUUAGUUCAAAAAUCACAGAGAACAUCAGAUCACCUAAGAACAACACAGGCGAGUGAGAAACUAUGUCCGAUGGAUCCACAGGGAGGAACAGGAUCCAAAAGUAUAUAGGGAUCUAUCAACACCAAAAUCGAUCAUAAGCUAUAAUCUAACACUUUUUCCCUAACAAUUUCAAAUCAAAUCCAGGAAAAGCGAGCUCAAAAACAAAAAAGAGAUCCAGAACUAAUCGUACUAAGCAAAAUCCACUAAAAACACUUACUGAUCAGGUACCGUAACAGAUUCCAAUGAGAAGAUAGAUUCAAACUAAAUGAAACAAGAAAUGGCUUCAGAUCCGACGAAUACGCAACGGAUCUGAUAUCGACAGUGAAAAGGAAGCAUAAACACUACUUAAAUCGACGAAAAAAGGGGGGAAAUACCGCAAAAUCGGAUCUAAUCUCAGUGCGAAAACAAAGUGAUUUAGCGAGAGAGAAGAAGAGGUUAAUUAUGUAUGCGAAAAUGGCGAAUGGAGGGGAGGAGAUCGCGGGAUUACCUGGAGAACGAAGCGGAAGAGGAGGAUAGUGGAGAGAGAGAGAGAGAGAGAGAGAGAGAGAGGAGCGAAUGGGGCGCGAGUGAGAAAAGGGCUCAAGGGUUAUUUAUAGACACAGUGGGUCGAGUUCGGUGCAGGAUUGCUGUGUGGAACGAGAAAUUGCUUCGUAGACCGUCCCCACCACGUCACUCGCGGACUACUUUCUUACCAUCGUUCCAUUACUCCUUUGCCCAUUAAAUCAUUGUUAUUUAAAAAAAAUAAAUAAAACCACUGUUAAUUAAUAGAAAUAAGUAAAUUACACCACUACUCAUCAAGAUUAUAGAUAAAUAUUAUUUAAUUACAAUAUUUUAGUUUAUUUUUAUUAAAUCUAUUUUUAUUUUAAUCAUGUCACCCACUUUUAUUAUAUUUUUUAGUAAACUAAUAAUAAGAUGAUUCAUUUAACCCUCGUAAGAUAAUACGGCAAUAAUUGUUGGCUAAUUUAAUUAUUAUCUCCAACUGUCAUAAUUCAACUAUAAAUCAAGUAAUAAAAUCAUCUACACGUAAUAAAUUAAUAAUUAUACCAUCUUCAAGAAAAUAUAGUACCGAUUAAUUAAUAUAUUUAAUAUUUUAAUUUGAAAAUAAUUGGAUAGAAUUUAAUAAAAUGGUUUAAUUGAAAUAGAGUUAUAAAUUUGAUACUUUUGAAUUAGAACUUAGUGAUUUAAUUAGAAUUCAAUUAGCUGUGGGUGUAAUUCACAUGUUAAAAUAAAUGUAGUAGAGGUUUACGAGGUCCACGGGUGAGGUGGUGGACUUGGUUCAUGCAAUAUAUUUUUUUCUUGCGAGACAGAGAGGGAGCAGCAGAUCAGAUGCGAUUGGUACUGGGCGUAUCCCAGACCAAAAAAAUAAAAUAAAAAUAAAAAAAUAAAAAGCCAAUGAAUUUAAAGCAUGUGAGAAGAGAAAAACGAAAAGCGACUAGGGGAGUAGGUGUGACACAGAGAAAAAUAAUAAUAAUAAAAUAAUAAAGAUACGAAAAAUAUAAUAAAAAAGAGAAAAUAAAAAUUAUAAAAUAGGAGUUUGGUGAGAUAGUGGCGAGCUACCAUCUUUUGUGAGAAAAAUUAACACUCCUUUUGUAAAUAUAUAAAUAUAUAAAUAUAUAUAUAUAUAUAUAGAGAGAGAGAGAGAGAGAGAGAGAGAGAGAGGCUGUAGCUUCUAUACUAUUAUGGGUAUUGGAGUUCUCGUACUCAUAAGUUAUUUUCGAUGAUAGAGCUUCCAAAUCGAUGAUCCAUUCCGCUAAAUAUGAUCUAGAGUAUUUGAAACUUGUAGAAAAUAAAUUUCGUAAAUUUUCGAAAUCAUAAUAAAGUCCAUCAAGCGGGCGUAAAAUGAACGGUCAAAAUCGAACGACGUCCUAAAAAAGGAUGAUCGGAUCCUUCAAUUCAAGAUCGGAGUUGUUGAUCUUUAUCUAGAUAGUGAAUAGAAUUUUUUCAAAAAUUCAACAAAUUCCAAUUCUUUUACGCCGUUAAACUAGCAAGUAUCCCAUACCGGCCAUUAAAAAUUGUCAAAUUUGUGACAUCUUGAUCAUAAAGUAAAUGAUGUCGAAAGAUUAUAAAAUUUGAUUUCUAGAAGUUUUAAAUGCUGUAAAUAACGUUUAACGGUAUGGAUCAUCGAUUCGGAAGCUCUAUCAUCGAAAACGAUUUAUGAGUAUGAGGGCGAUCAUACUCAUAAUAGUAUAGUAGCCGGACCCUAUAUAUAUAUAUAUAUAUAUAUAUAUAUAUAUAGAGUCCGGCUACUAUAUUAUCGAUAGUACCAAGCCCUUGGUACUAUUGAGUUUUCUACCGUUAGAUCUACCCUUUGAUCAUUUCCACNUAUAUUUUUAGUAUCUCAUGAAUUUGUGAAUACUUAAAAGUUUAAAAAAUGUGUAUUUUUUAAAAAAAUUAGAUAUAAGUCAUUCUUUCGCUUUUAUAAAGCUAAUUCUCGAUUGAAGUUGCAAGUUUCAGGAGAUAUGUACAAAUGUUAUGUUUUUAUUUUUAUUUACCAUUUAUCCAAUUCUUCAAUUUUAGGAUUCAAAUGUAACGGACUAUUAGAGCACAGCGUAUAAUUUUAGAACUAAUUUUAGAUAUAGUUUUGACUUUUCGACCUUUAAGACCAAAGUUUCGCAUAUGUUCUUGUGACAAGUGUAAGUCAAGAUCUAACUACUGAAUACGUUGCGUGAAUAUAUUAUUUUUCUUUUCAGUUUUGAAAUUUAGGAUCUGUUUAUGUGCAAUUAUGCCCCUAAUCAUAUGGUUUCCUAGACAUGCGGAAAUUAGUGGACUUGGUAUUAGCUCACAUUUAUUAAUUAUUGCAUUAUAAAAUACUAUUGCAACUACCAUGAUUGCUACAUUCAGCUGCUUUCUCUCGUGCUCAACCAAAUAAUACUAGGGAAUGUUUGGUUCCUCCCAAAAUAGAGGAAAUUUAUUUUUUAGAAAUAAAGUUUAUAUAUAAAAUAUUUUUAUUUCUCAAAUAAAAAAUUUGAACAAUAAAAAUGAGAUUUUGUAAGAAAUCUAAAUUUUGUUAAGAAAGACUACCAAGCUAACAAAAAUUAUUUUUUUCCACCGUAAACUUUUUUUUAUGAUAUUUUCAGAUAACCAAAUAGUCCUUCAAUAUAUUGUUGUAUGGACUUUACAUUCAGUAAAUCGGGUCUAUCAACAGAAAUCAUUUAAAAUAUAAAUUGAAACUAUUAAAUGUGACAUAAAGCCUCUCUAAUUAAGUAAGUUACAUAUAAAAAUUUUAUCGGUUUAAAAAUAUAAUUUUAAGAUACUAAAUUGUUCUAAUAAAAAGUUGUUUUCUAAAAUGCUUAGCUAUUUUUGUAAUAUAUAUGUUGUAAAAAUGAGAAUUUAUUACAUUUAUGAGAGAGAAAAUUGAAAAAUAAUAUAAUUUUUUAAAAAAUAUAUUAAACGGGUCCAUUGUAAUAAUUCCUAAAAAAUAUAUUACGCAUAAUGAUGUCACCCAAUAACUACGAGUGGGGCCCAUUGAGGGCACGUUAGGUGACUCCUACUUCCCGCGGUAGGUGAGCUUCGGUGGGCCCCACUAUUAACAUCAAACUCAAGGUUAGGUCACGAGCCCAACCGAGUCACCUCAAUCUCGACUCGCCCUUCGUUUUCAUUGGAUGGUGAUAAAAUAGACCGCGUAGUUUUUGCACGGAAAUUCUCCAUGGACCAAGCUCACCACAUCAGCAGAAUUUCUUUCUAUGCCUCAGAUUUUUUAAUUUUGUUUAAAAAAUAAACUCAAGUAAAAAAUAUUAAGCAGCUAUUUUUUGAACUUUAAAUUUUAGCUACCAACCAAUAAGCUGUUAGAAAAUUUUCUGUGUGGGCCAAGCGCACCACGUCAGCAAUGAAUUAAUUUUUAAUAACUGAGAGUAAAAUAGAAGCUCUUGUAAUAAAAUUAUAUGGAAGUUUAUCACUUUAAAUCUAGAUUGUUUGGACCAUGAAAAUACUAAUAGUUUGGUGAUUAUUCAAUGACUUAUUCUCUAUCACAAAAUUUUAAAGUGAAAUUGGCUGCAUAAUGAAAUUUAAAAAGAAUGGAUACCCGGCGGCUCAUGGCUGAUAUGGUGGACCAAAACUAGGCAAGAAUUGAUCCGGCGCAGUGUCCUUGAUGUAUCUAUUCGGUUUUAGGUACCAAGUUAGAUGUGCUCGUUAAUAAAGUAUGUUUAACUUUGACUAGUAUACCUACUUAGAUGUGCUCGUUACAUCAACAAAUCCAUUUUAAAAUUUUAAAUAAUUUUUAACUUAUCAACUAACAUAAUUUAGAAGCAUUUAAAAUACAUAAGCCGGAAUUAAUUAAAUCUACAAUAAUACUUCAUUCUUUUUUGUCAUUUACAUGAUUAUGAAUAAAUAAAAUUAGUUAAGAUAUUAAAAUUUACAUAUAAAAUAAUUUUUACAUUUUUAUUUAUGUUGUAUAGAGCGUGAAUUGAAAUAACUGUAUAUUUUUUUUUUCACACAUACUACAUCCUAAAAGUUAGUGUUGGUUGGGUUCUGGGUUAGGCUCGGCCCAUCAACUGCACAAAGUAGCCCGGCCCUACGCGUCUCUACAAGUCAUUCGCCCAUUUCUCCCCUUUCCCUCUUCUCUCUCUCUCUCUCUCUCUCUCUCUCUCUCUCCUCGGUUGUUCUCGCACCUCCAAACCCUCGCCAUGUGCCAAGGCCACCACCUCCACGCGUCCAUGCGGCGGCCGCCGCCGUCGCCGUCGCCGGAGUCCGGCGGGGCGCAGCCGCCGGCGAGGGAGGCGGAGGCGGCGCCGCUGGCAGCGGCGCGUGCGCGUUUGGCCGAAUCGAUCGCGGCGCUCGAGCGGGAGCGUGCCCGCGCCGCCGCGCUCCGCCGUCGCCUCGCGGAGUCCUACGCCGAGAGGGACCGCCUCAGAGAGGUGCUGGCCACGAUGAGCGCCCUCAAGAGCCGCCUCCGAGAGCUCGUCCGCGUCGGCGGCGACACCACUCCGUAGGGUCUCCGGUAAUGCGCCGUAAAACCCUAACCCUAAUCGCAUCUCAGUUCCACCUCUAUCUCCAGUUACAGAUGUUCAUGUUAGUGUUUGGUUAUAGCUAGUCACAUUGCUCCGGAUGUUGUUAAGCAUUUUUAUCUGGUUAUUGAUUUCCACGAACUCAUUUAUCGUGCUAUGCGUGGAAAAGGCGAUGACAUGUAGACAAAUUGGAUUAGAGUGAUAUAAUGUAAUGAGAUUGCUUGGUUUUGUAGACUUAUCAAAUUCAUGUAGAUUGCGUGUUGUGUAUGUGAAACUCUAUUUGGCAUCCAAUAGAAGAUUUAAUUGAGUUGAUUCUCAAUACAAUGAAAUCAAAUUAAUUGGAUUUCAAGGUGAAUUCUUCUGUUUGGAAUGCAAUGUACUGUAUAACCCAUAUGAGAAUCAGUAGGUUAUUUUUGUGUAGAGGAAUAUAUUUAUUCUCGAGAACUUCAAUUCACGGCAACUUGGAUCUCAGAUUGUCUUAUUUGCUAAAACUUGCUGAAUCAUUUUAAACUAUCAGAAAUCAUGUCGAAUCAUCAUAUUUGUGUAGGUUUUCAAACAACUGAUAUAGUGAAAUGUGAUAUGUUAGAGAAUGGGUAGAAAAAUUAAUCACACCGAUUGAAUUAGCAAAGUGCAAGUUUUGGGUCAAAUAGAAAAUUGAAAUGCAUAAUGUGACAAAUGAUUCAAAGGUGGAAAAUACGGUCAAAUAAAAAAAGAAUUUAGCAGAGCAUGCUGUGUACUUAUGUUGAUUGAAAGACCAUUCGAUCUAAAGGAAAAGAAUGCGCGCAUAGAUUCAUUUCAUCUAAACUAAGAGAUGGCAUAUAUAGUCCAGUAAUAAUGCUGCAUUAAUAAAAAGGUAAGAAGAAAGUUUUAAAGCAGCUCUUGCAGCCACGCUUCCAUAAUCAUCUUUCUCCAGCUUCUCUUCCAGGUAGUUGCCCUCAAUCCUGGAGAGAAUUGUCCUUUGUCUAUUCAAGAAAUUAAAAAGGGGCUUAUGGACAAUUCUUAUAUGUAAUUUGGAGAUUUAACAUUGUGCCGUGCUAUUAUUGUUCUCUUUGUUGUGUUAACCUGAUGUGUAAGCUAGUGUCAACAAGAACAGCAACAUCAAUCAUUGUCAACUUCAGAUAUUGGCGACUUUUAAACUGUAUGUUACAAGUAUUUAGUUUGUCUUGCUGAUUAUGAGCAUCAAAGGACCUCUUUUAUGCUGUGUCUGCUACUAGGAGUUUACAUGAGGAUUAACUGAAUACUUCCAAACCCACAGUUUUGCUUGGUGAGAAACUUAAAUAAUUAUUUGGAAGAUGGGGACUUCAAUCUCUGUCAAAACAGGUUCUGACAUCCAUUUUGGAAACUGACUGGUAAUAAAAGCUUGAGCCUUAGACAUAGGCUAUAAGAAGAGCAAACCCUGUAUAUCAUCUCUUGUGGAGUUAAACUUCAUAUGUGAGCAAACCAUUCUUUCUCUAUUUUCAUUACGGCUCUCCAUCAAGCCAUGGCACCUAUUCUCUACCUUGAUGGAUUGAAACUUAUUUAUGAUUCUGGUUAGCAUAUCACUACACGGAUCACUCCAUUGCUUAGUAGUGGAAUACCUAUUUGGAUCUGAUCCACUAAAACCUAUGGCGGUAUCUUUGUAAUUGUUGUUUACCUGCAGAACAAAGCUAUCUGCAUCAUAACGGCGUCUUCUGUCGUCCACCUCUCAAAAUACACUCCGUUCUUCAGCAGCGCAUCAGGUGAGACCAUUGAAAUGGUUUUCUUCUUCAAUUUCCAUUAUUGUUUAUUAGUUUUAGUGCUUGUACGCGGAAUUUGUUUGAUGACCCAUCUUUUAUUCGCUGUUUGCUCUAUUCACUUGUUUAAUUGUACCAAGGUUCCUAUUUCUCAUCCUUUUUAGGAGUUUUCAAUUUACUCACAAUCUCUUAAUUGUUACAAUUGGUUUGGUCAAUUUUGUGUCCCAUCAUGAUCUUAUCUUUUCUCAUCAAAACUCUGGUAAAAUUGGAAGAAAUUAUCCAUGCAAUCGUCAUGUACAAAGUCCAGAAUGGGGCCAAUUGUAACCAUCAGAGGUUUUGAAUAUUGGAUAGUUCUUGCAGUAGACGAUAAUUUUUGGCAAUUUAGGAACCAGCAUAAACUGUAUAGCUGAUACUUUCUUCUUUUUUUUAAAAAAAAAAAAAACUUUUUUACUUUUUUCUGUUCUUCUCUUCUGCUUUUUUGGUAACACAAUGAAAUAGGAAGCUGGGACUAGUGAUUCCCAAGAAUAGGUAUAGCUAGGUUUUUUAUGUCGUAUUUGGUUCAUGAUAUAUUUUAAGAUUUUUCAUAAUUGGGCUAAAGAUUCUCAUUUGGUUUGCUGCGAAAACCUAACGUGACAAAAAAUUUAUGAUUUUUAUGGCUUUUCUUAAUUCGACAAAAUGUGAGAAUUCAUAAUUCGCCUCUUCUCUCGGUUUUUUUUUUCUCCCCUUAAUGUGAAUUUGAUUUUCAAAGUUUGAUAUUUAUCAUCCUAUAAUGUAUAAAAUAAAAUAAAAUAGUGUAUGGUAUAGAACUUAUUAAUAAGAUUACUGUAGCAAACAUACUAAUAUGCCUUAGUUAUUAUUAUCAUAAUGAACCGGAUAUUUUAAGGUACGAAUCAAAUAAAAAAUAUUCCUACAACAUUCGAAAAAAUUUUAGAAAAAUAAUUUGAAAAAAUUUAAUUCUUUGCAAAAGUUUUGAAAUACCGUCAGUGUCACGGGCGCUUGUUGUUUUCGGUGUCAUCUCGUGAUCUGUUAUUUUUGGUUGUUUUUGGUGUCUGUCAUCUUGUGAUCUGUUAUUUUUGGUAAAACUAGAAUGUUAUUUUCUGCGCUCAUUCACGGGAAAUCUCCCAACUCUCGUGAGAGGAGCAAUAAAAGAAGGAAUAUAUUAGAAGGACACUAAAAUAUUAUUUUUAUUAUUUAGUACAUAUCAUAACAACAAAGCCAACUCUAGGAAUAUAUUAGGACACUAAAAUAUUUUUAUUAUUUAGUACAUUAGGGGGAUAGCAUAGCAGAAGUAAACAUUGGUAUCUCUCUCAUGCAGUCACAAGCACUACUAAUAGCUUCAGUCUCCACCAUCUAGCCCUGCAAGUGACAGGAAAUAUAAGAAGAUUAAGAUGAAUAAAUGCAACAUCGUAUGGAUUCUAAGAUAAUUGAUUGGAAAAAAAAAAAGAUAAAAAUGUAUAUAAAUUACUUGAACUGUAGAUCAUUGUGAUUUAGCUACCUAAUUUUUUAUAAUUUUAAUUUUUCUAUUCAAUUUUUUAAUUUAUUUGAUUUGAGCCGGUCUACGAUAUUUGACUUUAAAAUUUCAAAGCGUCAUUUUUCUCACAAAUUUUGUUAAUUUACUAUAUAUAAUUCUUGCAAUUAUAAUUUUAUUAAAAUAAAUAAUUAAUUUAAAUUUUAAAGUCAAAAUAUCAUCCACCAAUUCAAAUCAAACAAAUCGGAAGAUUUGAUAAUAAGAUUAUAAUUUCGCAAAGAUGAAUAACUGAAUCAAAAUGUUCUAUAGUUCAGAUAAGUUCUUUAGAAAAGGUAAAAAGAAGGCUCACCUUUGUGAUCAUUUGGAGCGAGUGAUCUAGUCGCUGUCGCUGCUGCUGCUGCUAUGGCCGUCGCCGUGCUUCUUCUCCUUCUUAUCCUUCUUCUUCUUCUUAUCCUUCUUCUCCCCGUGCUCUUCGCCGUGGGUCUUGUCCUUGACCUUCUCAACAGGCCCUCCUGCAUGGUGCUUCUCCCCUUCCUUCUUGUGCUCCUCCGCCUUGGCGUGCUCUUGCUUGUGCUUCUCCUCCUCUUUUUUGUGCUCUCCCCCUCCCCCCAUGUGGAGCUUCUCCUCAAUCUUGUGAAUUAUACCCGACAUUUUCCCAACUCUCUCUCUCUCUCUCUCUCUCUUCUAUUCUAAUGCAAUGCCAAUGUGGUAUGGUAUAGAACGUGUACUGUGAUGGCCUGAUUCAUUCCCUUCCCCCUCUCUAUUUAUAGGCGGAGCCACCGAGCGAGAGCAUUUACUAAGCAGUGCACGUUGGCACGGCUACGCGGCGUCAUUUCAUUGGCUCCGUCGAUCGUUCGGCCGUGUAAUCGGGAUCGCCUCGAUAAGCGGGUCGAAGCCGCUGGGGUUGCCGUGGAGUGCCCAGAACCGUUGAGAAUCCGCCACGUGGGUGGGGAGGCGGAUCCGACGAUUUGGUCGGCGAGGGCGUUGUGAUUGACGUUGGUUCCGUGUAUCGAAUAUCGAUGUGAUCUGAUCAUGAUAAGAGCGAUGAGAUUUUUUUUUUUUGCAUUAUUCCCUCCACCGAGUGCGUAAAAUUUUUCCGUGUACCACACACACCUUAGUUAAAAUCUAAUCAUAUUUAUUCUAUAAAGUGUAUAGGGUUUUUAAAUUUAUUACAUUUUAAGUUUAAAAAUCUAAUUAUUCUUUUUAAUUAAAAUUUUAUAUCUAGUGACAUCAGGAAGUGUCGAUAAUUGCUACACAAGUGAAAUGGAAACUACUGCGUCAAAAUCAAACUUUCAAUUGCUGCCGUGAAUCAACGGUGAGAAUAAUGGACUAAUACCGACCGUUCCUAGAGCAAGUGGCAAAGGAUUUGGUGGUUGGUACCCGAGACCCAAAUUCGAAUCCUAGUUGAUUCAUAUUUUUUGCCAAAUUUAUUUCGAAAUGAAAUAAACGAAACGGGUAGCGUGCUACCUAUUUCUUAAAAAAAAAAAAGAAAAAAAAAAUAACGGACUAAUGCAUUUUGGACGGAUGGGAUUUUUUGGAUUUUUGGAUUUGUGUGCGUGUGUGUGUGUGUGUGUGUGUGUGGUGUAAAAUGAGGUCUGCUCAUCUUUACGAGGGAAAAAGAAGUAGCGUGGUGAGAGAAAAAGAAAAGAGAAUCAGAUGCCAUGUUUAUAAAUAAUAAAUAAAUAAUAAUAAAUGUUUACUAGUGUCGGCAAACCUGAUGGCCACGUGUCUGGAUCUGAGUGGCUGUUCCUGCUAUUGUCUGUUUGAGGCCUUUUAUUUUAUCAUAAUGCUACUCUGAUACGGCAGGUACGGACCACGUCGUGCGCAUGUGAACGAUGGAUAAGGCUCAACUUGGUUGAAUAAUAAUAAUAUAUAAGCCUAAAUUACACCCUUGGUACUCAAAAAUUAUAAUAGAGUAUUUGAAAGCAUGGCUAAAUUUUAAUUUGUAUUAAUUUUAAUUUCUGAAUAUUUUAAAUUAUUUUAAUUAAAUUUUAUUAAUUUGUCGUCAACACGAAAGUAAUGUAGCUAUAUUGUGGCCGAUGAUGUGAUAAUAUUAAUUAAAAUAUUGCAUUAUUUUUAUAUCAGCGAUACGUUAAUAUUUAGUCUUAAAUUGAGUUAUGAACCUGAUUACAAUAAUUUACAAUAUUUGAAUUAGAAAUUAUAAUAAAUAAAAGUUGUGAGGACCAAAAGCUUUAUUUACCCAUAGUAUAAAAGAAAAAAAAAAAAAAGUACAUAGGCCUCCUUCAAUCUCAACUUCAACUAUUUUUUAUAAACCGUCCAAUUUUCGGUGUUUCACAAUUAUUAAAUUUUAUCAAAUAGUUUAAUAAAUUAUAGUUUAUUUUUUAAAAAAAUAAAAUUUUAAAAAUAUUUUAGAAUUAUUCUUGUGCAAUGUACGGUUUGACGACCAGUAACUAUGUUUCAACUAAGAAAAUAGAUUGAUUGACUCUUAUAAAAUUUGGACAUAUUUAUUGUUAAAAGAGAUAGGAUACUGGUUAAAUGGUAUAAUUUAAGUACUGAUUAAGCCUGAUGUAUUUUAUUUGUCCACAAGAAAUUUCACUUCUCUUAAUGUUGCUUUUUAUUCAUUUAAAAAAAAAUUAGAUGUUAUAUUUUUAGUUAUUUGAUUUGAUUUAAUAAAUGUAGUGGGUUAAGUUCUAGACCCACGAUAGAGGGUUGACUAUGUCGACAUUGUUUAUUUUGAGAUGCAUAGCACGUCUCACAUUAAUCUUAGCAAUCAUUUUGUACAAUUUAAAUUAUUGCAUUUGUUCUGUAAAUAACAAUAUCAUAUCACAUAUCCUGUUUGAAUAUACUGUUCUUUUUUUUUUUUAAAUUCAACAUACAUGUCAAAAUCAUGUACACCUUUUGGGAAAUUUGUAAUGAAACAAAUAUUUGAAAUGAUUUUUUCAACGCAAAGGAAUGGUAGAGAAAAAAUAACGCUUUGAAUGUGAAUCUCAAAUAUAUUUUAGAUUAACAAUUGAGAUAUUUUCUAUUUACAAUGACGGUGUUAUCUAAACAAGUCGAUCGAUCUAAUAGGAAAAGGUUUAGGAAUCAUAAAGAAAAUUAAAUGUUAUGUUAAAAAUUAUUAAGUUUUAUUUACUUGAUAAAUAAUGAUAGCAUAAGUUAUAACACUAAUAUUGAAAUCCUAAAAAAUUAUAUUAGAAAUAAAAAGUUCAAAGAAUUGGGUUAGCCCAUAAUCUAGCCCGGUCUAGGACGGGCCGGAUGCGGAUACAUGCCGGGCUGGUCCAGGCCCGUUCGGUUUUGGCCCGGACAUGGUGGACUGGGUCCAGGCAAUAAUUUCUCCCACUGGGGUCCAUGGCGCACGGUUACACACUAAUGCAUUCGAUGAUUUAUUUUCAUUUGUGAGGAUGUGAUUAAAAGCUUUUGCUUUCCCUUUUUUUUUUACUUUUUCUUCUGUGAGUAUAAGUUGGACCCUAGACCUGUAACACACCAUUUAGGAGUUACUAAUUAUCUGCGCCACACAUAUACAAGUUGAUCGAAGAUGUUGAGGAUCAAUGCAGAUUCUUCCAUUGCAGCUCAACAAAACACAUCAAGAAAUAGGCAAGCAUGCAGCAGAUUCAUUUCUCUAAAUGAAGAGAAAUGUUUAGUCUUGUUUUUAGUUUAGGGAAGUCCCCAACAAUUAUUGGACGCAAUCAAUUAGUCUUGCAAAGACCAUCUCAAUUUAGCCUUUUUUUUUUUAAUAAUUUUCUAGUAAUUCUCAAACAAUAGCCCAUUUUGAAAUAGGCACUGGAGCUCAUCAGUUUGUCACAUUCCAUGCAAGCCACAACAUCUAAUCAAAUGUCUCCAUAUUACAAACAAACGCGCGAGAAACUUUUUGUUAAAACAUCAUUUCAAUACGAGGUAACCAUAUUAUCCUGGUUAGACCUUUUCAACAUCUCACAUUGUAUAAUAUGAGACGAUGAAAUAUAGACUCCAAUACAACUACUGAUCCAGAAUAUCAUAAAAUAUUCAAAUUCAAGAACUUUGAAACAUCUCAGCGCUAUCCAUAACAUUGCCAUGAUCAAAGAAUCAGACAACAUGCAUACAAAGAACUACUCACAUGUCAAGAGUUCUAGUAACCGCAGAAUGCUGAUAUACUUGAGGUCACUUAAGUUUGAAAAAAGACCUACAUAAGAAGCUGAAAUAGACCGAAACCGAAAGUACCAUAAGAGCAACAAAAUCCUCCACAGCUGAAUCCUCUAAUGCUGCUACGAGACAGAUGCCUGGAAACACAGAUCAAUGAUUUAGUCAAUGAAAAGUCAUAUUAAUAGUUAUCAGUUCACGGCUCACUGUUUAAACCAGUGGUUUAAAGACUACACCAUGACUAAUCUUACUGGUAAUAAAAGAAUGAAGUGCAAGAGAACUAAGUGUUAGGCCAAAACAAGAGAGUGCAUUUUUGACCUGAAGCAUUAUCACUUGAGUCUAUUAUUUUUCAACAGUUUGAUAAAAGAUCUAGGCAUAAAGAAGAAAACCAGCUGGUCCAAUCAAAACUGAAGCAGCUUACCGGUUCACCAGUUUGAAUGGAUUGAUGUGUUUUUUGGAACUUUUCAUUUUAUGGAUUAACCCUAACUGUCCUAGGCAUGGUUUAAUCAGCCAGUUCAAAUGGUUUUUAGAACGUAGGUACAACCCCACAGGACCUCUAAACCCAUUUCACAAGAUCCCAUAUCAGUUAACAUGUGAAAAGUUACAGAUACCAUAAAAUCAAAAGAAAUUUGACACAACAUGCAAACACCUCAAAGCUUAAACAGAAUGCUUUAAAAAAAAUAAAAAAAUAAAAAAAAAAAAUCUUAAGACUACACAGUACUGAAUAGCAAAAUAUGCAAGUGCACCCAAUUAUCGAACAAUAACCCACUUUAGGUUUACAGUUUUCAGCUUAAUGAGGUUGCUAAAAGAACUAUCAUACAGGAUUGUUGUAAUAUUUCAUUGUCCAAAAGCCAUUUCAGAGAAAUACACUAAUCAUUGCGCCUAAACAAGAAAAACUUCUUCAUGAUUUCGACUUUAUCAUAUUGAGAGACAUCAUUAAGGCUAUGAUUGUGUAUAUUGUAAUCUAUAUCUCAACAUAAACCCUUCAGAAUUAAGAUGAAAUGACAGCUUACAUACUAUCGACCUGAGCAAUUAUAGGUCAAUAUAAAGGAAUAAACAAAUUCAAACAUAUAACUAUCACAUGCUGAAUCUAUUCUUUAGAUAUACAAUAUGACAAAGAUGAUCCUUCUUCUAGCAUCUACCAUGGUGAGAAGCCAUCGCUAUUGAAAAUGCAAGUAUGCAUUUGAACUAAGUAGGAUCGCCUUCAUCUGACUGGUUAUUUCAUUGUACCCAAGUUGAGGAAAAUUAUUUGCAUUGAAAGUAUUUUUCUCCUUUAUUGAUAGGAUGAACCUUAUACCAAAUUUAACCCAAGGUUUAAACCUCUUGGUUGGCCACAAACACAACUGCCUCUGCCCAAGUUCAACCCACACCUAGGUUAUAAAUCAAGGAAUAGGUCAGUAUGUAGCCACAUAGCCUUACUAAAAUAUUGUUCGAACGAGGCAAAACUUCAAAUUCUUCCUACUUAAUUCUUUUGCAGCGGAAUGGAACCUAGGUUGACGAAAAUCAGGCCCUUUGCGUCAAAGUUAUAUGAUCUGGAGCACUGAGAUGCCUAGACCACUUCACCACUUUUGGAUUUUGACACCCUAAUUAACUUCUAAUUUUUAUAUAGAGAAAUUCCUAAAAAGCUGCUCCACAGCUCCAAAGAUGUAUAGGCCAGAACUACAGCGUACCUACUAGAUUGCUUAAAGAUUUUACAUCAGAUCUGAUGGAAAUAAAAGGAACUUCAGCAAGCUAAAAAGAAGCAAACACAAGGAAAGAUAAAUGUAACAUAUAGUAGUUAAGGACGACGGAGAUUAUGAUAUGAAGUUAGGGUUAAACGAGUCGAUAGAAACUGCUUCAAUCGGUUUAACGUCAAGCAACUGACAAAAAAUAAAACACGUACUUAGGCCAGUAAAAUGCCUCUACUAUGUUUUAACAGAACAACUACAUACUAGCAUCUAAAAGAGCAAUAGGAAGGUAGUAGUCACAAGAAGCGGUGGAUCUUGGCAUUAAUGUUAUUGAGAGGUGGAGGAACCAUAAGGAAGAAGAAGGUUGAUGCCAAGCGAUUACAAAAAACAGAGGGUCAUUCCAUUUCACCUCGGCACUGAGGUUAAUUUCCAAUUAUUAUAGGAUUGAAUUCAGUUUUGAAAGAUUUGUUAAACUGCUUUCCUCUGGAAUGAGACUCAUUUAGGAUGACUUCUCCACACCGGACUGCAAGUACAGGCAUCGAUUUCUUCCGACUACCGUUUCGUGAUCCAAAUCCGUCCAACAACAUUAAAAUUUUCGAUUUAAACACCGAGAGCUAAAAAUAAACUAGGUUCGUCUUUCACAUCCUAUAUAUAUACCCCAUUUCUAAAAAUUCGCAAGCAAGCAAAUCAUCAUGCAUGAUCAAGAAAAUGUACCACUCUGAAGACACACAGGGAUGGGCGAAAUACCGGAGAUCUACUGCUGCUGAUUCUGGCCGGGCUGCUGGGGAUUCGGCGGCGGCGGCGGCAUCCCCGGCCUCGGCGGGGCGAACAUGGGCACGCCUGCGCCGGGCGGGGGCGGCAUCCCGGGCCUGGGCGGGGGCGGCAUCCCGGGCCUGGGCGCGGGCGGCGGCGGGCCCCUCAUCAUCUGCGGGGGAGGGCCCAUGGGCCGCUGGCCGAACUGGGGCGGCGGGCCGGGGAACUGCGGGGGCGGGCCGCCGGGCCUGGGGGCGAACUGCAUGGACAUGGGCGGCGGGGGGCCGCGGCCGACGGGGGGCUGGGGCUGGCCGGGGUAGCCGGGGGGCGGGGGCCGCACGACCUGCGGGUAGGCGACGGGCGGGGCGGAGAGCUGGGGCACGGGGGGGCGGGAGAUCUGGGGCUGCAUCAUGCCCGGGGCGGGGCCGCCGACGCCGCGGACGGGGCCGGCGAGGCCGGGCUGGGCCUGGACGAGGGGGGCGGCGGGGACGCCGCGGCCGNCCUUGGCGCGGGAGUCGUCGGGGGGAGGGGGGCCCUCGACCGUCAUGGAGACGACCUCCUCGCCGCGGAGGAGGACGAGGCCAAGGGUGCGGCGCUCCUCGCGCUCCUCGCCGGCCUUCUUCGCGCCCUUCACGGGGGGCAGCCUCCGGAACUCCUCGCAGUCGCCGAGCACCAGGUUCAUGUGCCGGUCGAAGGCCAUGAACUUGCCCACCAGCUGCCGCCCGUCCUGGAUCGUCACGCGCAUGCGGUAGUUGAUGAACUGCAGCAUCUUCGACCCCUUCGACAUCGACAUGGUCGCCGCGCUCGCUACAAUUUCCCUCCCUCCCCGGACACCAGGGCUUAGGGUUAGGGUUAGGGUUUAGGAGGUAUUGUUGGGAGUGCGGAGGUAGAAGAGAAGAAGAAGAAGAGGCGGGGGAAAGGGUUUUUCUUUUCUAACCCGAGCCGAGAGCGGGUUUGAGCCUUUUAUUGGGUUCGGGUUACGGGUGAGACUAGCCUGGCCCCGGCCCCGGCCCCGGCCCGGGGUUUGUUCAAUGAGUUUAUUUUAAAAAUUACAAAUUUAUGUAAUAAUUUAUUUUUAAUUUUUAAUUUUUAGUAUUUUAAAUUACAAUUUUAUGUAAUAAUUUAUUUUUUUUUUUAGGAGUUAUCACGUAGAAAUUAAAAUUUUAAACUCCAUUUGGUUUCGAAAAAAAAUUAGGAAUAAUAAAAAUUAUACACGAUAUUCCACGAAACCAAAAAUAAAUUUAUUUUAAAAUUUUAAUUUUCUAAAUCAAUAAUCAUAAAUUAUAGACCAUAUAAAUCUUAAAUCAUAACAUAUAUAUUAACAUAUUAAAUUACAAUUUUAAAAAAUUAAAAAAAUUACAAUUAUGGUGCACCUGGUAUAGAUGCACCAGGUGCACCCAGAAAUUCCACUGCUUUCCCCAUUGGGAGAGCAGUGGGGCGCCUGUGCCAUCCGGCGCCCAUCGGGGAGUAGCCCCAAACUAAGUAAUGUGGGGCUAGUGCCCAUAUAAUUUUUGUCCAGUUGUAACGUGGGGAUAUUCCAGGCGCUAUCCGUACAUUUUUCACCCCCUUUUACUCCGCUAUCCAAAUCCCCCGCACGCUUCGCGGCUCCUCCCAUGGCUUCCCUAUCCUUUCCCGCCAUCUCCGUCCCCACCUCCGUUCGCCGCGGCCUCGCCCCAACCCAAACCGCCCGGUCCGGCCCGACCGCCAGAUCGGCCGGUCCGGGUACCGGUCGACGCCGUCUCGGCUCGGUUUUUUCCUCCGGUGCGAAUUUAGCGCGUCCGAGCCCGAUCCUGAGUCGAAUCGGAGAGGAAUCUUUCGACAAAAGGGAACCCAUGGUUCCCCCUUUUAAUGUCCUCAUCACUGGUUCCACUAAAGGUCCCAAUCCCAAAUUUACUUUAUUAUUAUUAUUAUUAUUAUUAUUUACUUUUCUCUUAUUUCAACUUUUAUUUAGCUUUGCUAUGCAUUUUCCAUACCUUAAUGCUAUUUUUUUUUCCCCUAAAUUUUCUCUUUAGCUCUGAUCUGUUUCUGCGUUCUACGUGCAGGUUUAGGGUUUGCACUUGCCAGAGAGUUUCUGAAGGCGGGGGAUAACGUUGUAAUCUGCUCAAGAUCAGGCAUAUUACUAUUGCUUUUUGUCGUUGUUACUUCGAACAUCGAUUUUGUUGCUAUACGACAUGCUAAUGGAGGCGGUGGUCACUUAGAAUUUAAAGCUGCAGUUUGAAGAAAAGUAUUCUGAGAUGCUGCUUAUUUUUUUUGCAGCUGAGCGCGUGGAAUCAGCCGUUCAGAACUUAAGAAACGAGUUUGGAGAGCAGCAUGUGUGGGUAUCUACUGCAUAGCUGCUUUUUUUCUUUUUUUUUUUCGUUUUUGGUUCUUUCCCAAGCUUGUAGAAUCUGGAGUUGCCUAUAUACUUAUCGAACAAAGGUACCUUAAGAUUGUGAGUCAUCUAAUUCGCAGGGCGAGGAUGCUUAAAUUUUGUGCUUCCUCAUCCCUGAAUUAAGUAUUUUGAGGGGAUAUAUGUGAAAAUUCAGAUUUUGCAGCGGCUUAGAUGUAGAUGUCUAUACAUCUUUUCGUUUGGUGCUUUGAACAGUUCUUAAGGGAUGGUUAUUUUUCACUGCAGGGAACUGUGUGUGAUGUCAGGAAAGGAGAGGAUGUAAAGGAACUAGUUAAUUUUGCACGUGACCGGCUGAAAUACAUAGAUAUAUGGGUAUAAUAUAAACCGCCCUGUUAAUGCCGUUCUAUAUGUUUAUUGGAAUUCUCCAUGUAACUUCUCGGAAAAAUACCACUAGGUCGAAUGGAGACUUGGUUCUCUGGUGCUAACCACCAUGCUUUAAUCAACAACGUUGUCCAUUCAGUAAGCAGAUAGAUUCAUGCUUGAUGCGAAGUUAGAAACACUUACUGUAUUUCCUUAACAAAUGAAACAGAUCAACAAUGCUGGAUCAAAUGCGUACAGUUACAAACCGUUGGUUGAGACUUCUGAUCAAGAUCUCAUGUGAGCUUUCACUUGCAUAGUCACCUGGCUGUCUCAAUCCUCCAGUUAGUCGCUACGUGCUUCCGAUCUUUAACUUGUUUAUUUACUAUUUUAUGAAGGGAAGUUGUUACCACAAACACUCUUGGGUUGAUGAUUUGUUGCCGUGAGGUAAUGUUUGUUUGUAACUUGUUCUUCGAACAGUGAAAGCAACUCGAAAAGUAUGUUCUUGCUUCUACUUUUGAUUUCUCUAUGUAACUUUGUAGGCAAUAAACAUGAUGCUAAACCAGCCUCGAGGUGGUCAUAUAUUUAACAUUGAUGGUGCUGGUUCUGAUGGAAGGCCGACCCCUAGGUGUGUUUCGCAGACAUUUAGUUGUUACUGGUAUUAAGACAGAGUUAGAACUUAGAAAUAUGUGGUUAAUAUUGGUACUGAUAGGCUUAAAGAACAAAUAUGUUUCCCUUGAAUUUAGUACGUAUAGAUCUGUUGUUCAGAAUAGUGUUAAGCACGAGCUGCUCGCUUGGUUCCUCAUCGAGUACAAAUGCUAGAUGUGCAGUUUCUAACUUUAUUUUUUCUUUCUUUUAUCUUUCUUUUUGCUAAUGGAAUCAUGACAUGAUCGUUCCACAGAUUUGCUGCAUAUGGUGCAACAAAGCGUAGUGUAGUGCACCUCACUAAAUCUCUACAGGUAGACAUGGAGAGGAAUAAGCAUUGUGUAACAUUGUUAUCUGAUCAUCAUUUUGGUGCUUACUAGGAGUUUGACAGACGUAUAUGAUCUGUUCAAAUUUCAGGCAGAACUGCAGAUGAAUGAAGUAAAGAAUGUUAUGGUGCAUAACUUAUCGGUAUUUGACCUAUUUUUGUUGUUCUUUUGGAGUUCAUUUGUUAUUUAAAGAUUCUCGCGUACAUGCAUUUUUCGAUGAUGAGAUUUCUUUUUUGCCUGAUUAAUAUUUUACAAUUCUUUAAUACAUGCUUUGUCCCCAUGCAUUUUGAUUUUGAUAUAUAUAUAUAUAUUUUUGUCCAUUGCAGCCUGGGAUGGUAACGACGGAUCUUCUUAUGUCUGGGGCCACCACAAAACAAGUAUACAAUCAGUUCGAUAUCUCCUAUUCCGUAUUAUGAAAGAACCAGUGCUUCUUAAUGAUAAUGUAAUGCUGAAUUUGCAGGCCAAGUUUUUCAUUAAUAUCUUAGCUGAACCGCCUGAGGUGGUAAGAAUUUCAACACCCUUUAUUUAAAAAUUUUAUGAUGCCGAAUUGGGUACUUUCCAUUUCUCGGAGCCAUGUUAAGAAGUUACUUCUAGCUUGUGGAAACUUAUGCUGAUGAAAUUGAUUAAUGGUAAUAAUAUCAUAUGUAUGUUCAACAAUUUCUUCAUACUAGUUGAUUGCCCUAUGCAUAUCCAACAAUUUCUCCAUGCUGGUGCCUCUUUCCUUGUCAAUUGAUCAACAUUAAUUAUAUUUCGCAUGGAAGAUUUAAGUUCCUUGUUGUCCUGUGUUAUGCUCGCAAAUGGUAAUCUAAUUGGCACUUUUAGACAGCAUGGUAUUUCAAAUUGUAUAGUGUCAUUUUGGAAGCUCUCCAUCUUCUAGAGAACUUUCAUAUCUUCUAAUUAAUGUUUUCUUAUGAAAAAUAUUUUGAACAUUAAUUCUUCCUAUUAAACAUCUGAACGAUCUGCACUUCUGCUUAGAACAGCCAGAAGAAGAUAUUUAGUGGGAAGUUCAUCAUCUUGUGAUUGUAUUCGCAAAUUGAAAUAAGCUUUGACCCUAUACAGCUAAUUUGAUUUUUAUGGAAAAAGUAGAUUCAGUGUGUAUGAUGGAUGAAAUGGUUAUGUUUUUUUUUCUUAUAUUGUAUAUCUAUAGAUUGUGGACAAGCUAUGUAUGUACUUCACUUAUUGUUACUUCCUGUAGGUUGCCGAGUACCUUGUUCGAUGCAUCAGAUCAGUUCCCAGCAGCAGAUCCAUGAAGCCAACCUACAUUCGCUUCCUCACAGGCUUGAAAGCGUACUCCCAAAUAUUUUCAGUUAAGAAACCCACAUAAUACUUCAGCUUCUACUACUUAUGAUAAUGUUUCGGUAAAAUGUGCGAGCAAAUCUAAUAAUUGCCUUUUUCUUUUCCUUCUUGGCAUCUAGAGACUUGCUUUUGGCGCCCGACGAAACAGAUAUCUUGUAGAAGAUUGAAGGAUUUCUAUAACUCACUGAGUCAGCGCACUAUUUGUUUUCAAUUUUCGCUUCUCUGAUGCAUGACUAAAUUAUUCACUUAACUUUCAUAUACGGCUCGUCGAUUGUUUUUUGUAUAUAGAUUCUCCAUUAAUGGGCUUUAGUUUGGUCUUUACUCCCUUCCUAGGGCAUGAAGCAUGCGACAGCAUAUCUCGAUGAUUCUUUAGUUAGACUAAGGAAAAAGCCGUACAACUUGCGUACUGUCGAUACAAAACUGGUGUACAGUAUAAGAUGUUUUUAUUGCUAUUGUUUGUGGGCAUUAUAGUAUCUUAUUAUUGAGGAGAAUGCCUUGAAACUGUUUCUGAUAAACUGUAUGCAACUUAAUUAAUUUGUGGGUGGGGAUUCUUUUGUCAUAUGCUUUGAAACAACUGCUUUAGGGCCUGUUUGUUUGGGUGAAAGUGAAGAGAGGUGAAGUCGUUUUCGGCCAUAAACGAUUACUGCCAUUGUUUGUUUCGCCGUAAUAAAAAUACAGUUGAAACUCGAGUUACUCGGAACUGUGUAAUUGACAUUGAUCCACCAUGAGCCGAAGUCAGUUACAAUGAAGAGAGGUGAAGAAAAAAAUAAUAAAAUAAUAUAAUGAGUAAUUCUAGUUAUAUUUAAAUAUAGAACUAAGCUGGAAUACUAUUAAUAGCACCAAUGACUUGGUGCUAUUAAGUUUUCCGCCCUUGGAUUAAAAGAUGUGCGGUUAGGAUGAUGUGGACCUCCUAGGGUUGAGUGGGUGGUUGGUUGAAUAGUAUAAUCUAACGUGUAAAAAUAAUCAAAUGGGUUAAUCUAACGGCAGAAAAUUUGAUAGCACCAAGUGCUUGGUGCUAUCGAUAGCAUAGCGGCCGGACUUUUUAAAUAUCUAUUAACAUAUAUGAUUUCGUAAUAAUUUUGUCACGUGGUAAUUUUUCUUUUACCCUCAUUAAAAUCUUUGCACUUCUUUAUUUUUUGUAACCGUUUUUUCUUUUAGGAUGCUCUUAUAAGUGUCAAUGAGUGAAAGUUAUGAUAAACAUUUAAGUGACAACAGUUAUAAUUAUUUAUUGGUCUUAAGUAAUAUACAAAUACACUUUUAAAAAAUUUAAAAAUCAUCCGUGCUAAUUCAUAUGACUUUAUAUUUGUCAACAAAAUAUUAUAAUUUUAAUUUCAUUUUUCUCAUUUCCUGUGAAUUUGUGAUCAAGUAUAAAAUAUUGGUAUUAACACAAAAUCAUUACUCUAAGCUAUUAAAACAUAUUAGAACUAAAUAAUUAAUUUGCUUAUUUUCUUUUCAAUUAAUAUUAUAAUUCUUUUUAUUAGCAAAUAUCAACUUUUUGCCUUUUUGUAUUCUAGAGUUUGUUCAGCUAUUUGAAACAAAUUAUUCUGUUGCAUAUCAUUAGGACAAGUUAAUAUAAUUUAUACAUUAUAUUUUAAUAUUCAAAUAAUCUGUACAUUAUACUUCAAUAUUAAAAAUUAUAAAAUACAAAUUUAAUCAUGAAAUUUUGACAAAACAGAGGGCAUAGUUUUAGCUUUAUUAAACACUUAUAUAUGUCAUGUUUUUUCCUAUAUUUUUACUAUUCCAUUUAAAUUAAUUUUAUAUUGUAUUAGAAGAUAAUAUUAAGUCUAAAUAAGCACUCUCAAUAACCAUUAUAGUUCUAAUAACAUGCAACACCCACUACUAUGAAGAAUUAAAAUCUAAAUUAUAACUUAAGCACUAAUUACAUAUGUUUCGAUGACCUUUUAGAUUCUUAUUAGCUAUGUUAAUCAUCAAAGUUAUAUAUCUAAUUUAACCAUAAGAACCAUUAUAGUUUUAACGUGUAACACCCACUAUCAAGUGGCAUUAAAAGUGGAGAUAUAAUUUAACCACUAUUACAUACGUUUUCAUGGCCCUUUAGAUUCUCAUUAUAUGAUAAAUUGAUUAAUGAUGAAUUAACUAUAUUAAUUAUAGGAUUAUUCCUAUCUACUCAAGCGGCAUUAAUUGAAAAUUUAUUUUUUUAAAUAUUGAGUAAAAAUUAGAGUAUCACAAGAUAGAUGAAUUAAGUAAAAUAAAAACAUCUUGACUAUUUGCAAUAUCUCCCUACCCGCCGCAACGUGCGGGUUACUACACUAGUAUAUAUCUAUGGCACUAAUUACUUUUUUGUUUAGUCUGCAUAUUUAAAAUAUUAUAAAAUUUGAUCAGUUAAGUUUAGUAUUUUCUUCAUUUAGCUUGUACAUUUAAAAUACGAUGAAAAUUGAUUAGUUAAGUAUUUAUUUUUUUUAACUUUAUAAUUUUAUUGUUGUAUUAUUAUAAUUUAUGUAUAAAAAAAUAAUUUAGUUGUUUUAGAUUUAUUUUUUUUUAUUAUAUAAGAAUAUAAUUAUAUUAUUUUUAUUUAUUAUAUUAUAAUUUAUUAAUUAUUAAGUUAUUUAUUAUUUAUACAUAGAUAAUAGUUUUACAUCAUUCACUUUCUACCAAAUAAACAGCAUAACUGAAAAACUUUACUUUCAUAGUUAUGAAAUAAAUAAUAGAAAAGAAGUAGUUUUCACCGAACUUUAUUUCAAGCUAAAAUCUACUUUAACAAAAAGUUGAGUUUCGGUGAAACAAACUAGAAACUUAGGAUGAUCUUGGGUGCUGAAUAGUAGUACAACGUGUUCCAAUUAUUGCUACAAUAAGUUAGGAUUUGGUUAGAUUUGUAGUUGAAUCCUAUUUGGAUAAGAAUUACCAUUUAAAUCUGUUUGAGAUAAAUUAAAAUUUAAAUAUUAAUUAGAGGAUAAACCUAACUAGAUUAGGAUUAAUAUUUAAAUCUAUUAGAGAUUGAUUAAGAUAGAUUUGGAUAUUAAUUAAAGUAUGAAUCCUAAAUAUAUUAGGAUUGGAGUACGUUUUAAAUUGAGCAUUAUAAAUAGGCAUUGUGGCUCUC